UUAGAAUCAAUGGUUGAUUUUAGCACUUCCAAGCUUAGAACAAGAAACGUUCAAGCAAUCUCGACUGAGGUAUUGGAAAAAGGAACUGCCAUGUCCAUGCACAAGUAUACAACAAUGCCGGGACUGAAGAAGUUGGCAGGUGACAAAGUCGUUGUGUGUCAUAAGGAGAACUAUCCCUAUGCUGUGUUUUUCUGCCAUGCAAUAAAACAAACAGCAGCUUAUGUUCUCUCCCUGAAAGGCGAUGAUGGGGUGAAGGUUAAAGCAGUAACCAUCUGCCAUCUAGACACAUCAGAAUGGAACCCAAAGCAUUUGGCCUUCCAAAUCCUCAAAGUUAAGCCCGGAACCAUUCCCAUCUGCCAUUUCCUUUCCACAGAUGCUAUUGCAUGAACAUCACUUAGCACUGUACGUAUAAUAAGCUUGCACCCCUGUAUAAUUAUCUCCCUACUCUACUUAUUUCUGCCUCUUCUGUUGAGAUUUCAAUCAGAACUUGCACACACAAUGCAUCAGCUCACACAAAACCAGAUGAAUUUAAGAAAACAGAAAAAUGCAGAGAAAGAAUGGAUUGGCUACUCAGUAAUGCUCAAAGGUUCGUUGCUAUGCACAAAACAUGGCAGUGCACAAUACUCUCAUUUCUAACGGAACCAUUCCUUUUUACAAUGCUGAGAAUGUGAUCUCAGCCUUACAAUUGAUCCAGCAAUGUAAGCUGGACACUUGUCUUAAAUCUGAGUCAUAUAAGUUUCAUCCAACCAAAAUAUUACAUCUGUGAAAUAAAACUUAAACCAGCAGGAAUUUAUAAUUCGACAUUCCCUUCUAAAUUGUUGACUGGUUUAACACCAAGUAGACCUCUUAAGUAAUUGAAUCGAUCCUUAGACAAAGCUUUAGUGAAUAUGUCAGCUGCUUGCUCUUCGGACUUGCAGUAUCUUAGAUCCACCACACCUUCUUGCAAAGCAUCUCGAAUGAAAUGGUAUAUGCGGUUAAUGUGUUUGGUCUUUUGAUGGAAAACUGGAUUCCUUGUCAUUGCAAUGGCAGAGGUGUUAUCUACCAUUAAUGGAGUUGCCUCUGUUUGCUAUUCUCCAAAGUCUUCAAGCACAAACUUCAACCAUAUAGCUUGAGUAGUAGCUUCACUUACACUAACAUAUUCAACUUCAGUUGUGGAGAGAGCAACACUGGGUUGCUUGACAGAUGCCCAAGAUGACACGCCACUUCCAAAUGAGAAAGCAUAUCUAGAAGUGCUCUUCAUGUCAUCUUGACUCCCACUCCAGUCACUGUCACAGUAUCCAAUUAAUACAACUUCUUUUCCCUUCUGGUAUUCAAUACCAUAAUCAAUUGUGCCUUUGAUAUACCUCAACACCCUCUUAGUUGUUCCAUAGUGUUUCUUUUAGGACAAUGCAUGAAUCUAGCUAAUAAGCUAGCUGCAAACAUUAUGCCAGGCCUUGUAGCUGUUAAGUACAACAAACUUCCCACAAUCUGCCUAUAUUCAUUCUCAUCUGCUGGAUCACUUCCAUCUGCUUUGCAUAAUUUCUCACUUGCCACCAGAGGAGUGCUAACAGGUUUACAUUGUUUUAAGCCAAACUUGCUUAACAGAGUCAAAGCAUAUUUCUUUUGACUUAUGAAAAUACUCUUUUCAGUUUGAAUCACAGCCAUACCAAGAAAAUGAUACAAAAGACCUAAGUUAGUCAUUUCAUACCUUCUCAUCAUCUUAGACUAAAAAUCUGCAAUCAAUUCUUCACUGCUUCCUGUAUACACUAUAUCAUCAACAUAUAUCGAUACAAUGAGUGUUCUAGAGUUUUCCUUGGUCUUGCAAUACAGAGUUGCUUCACUAGAGCUCCUUGUAUAACCGCAGUCAAUAAGAUACGAGUUUAUUUCCUCAUCCCAUGCUCUUGGCGCCUGUUUUAGACCAUACAGAGCUUUCUUUAGUUUGUACACUUUGUCUUUAGAGUUCUUAAUCACAAAACCAUCUGGCUGGUCCACAUAUACUUCUUCCUUAAGCACACCAUUCAGAAAAGCAGACUUGACAUCCAAUUGAUACAACUUCCACCCCUUUUGAGCUGCCAAUGCAAUAAAAGUUCUAAUGGUGUCUAAUCGGACUCUGCACCCCUCUCGAUUGAAAACCUAUUGUGUAAAUCUUCAAUCCUAAACGAUGCACCUAAAACACAUGUUGCAAUACACAUCCACCCAUUCUCAGGCCAAUUAUUGCUCAUAGUGGGCUCCCGACCCCCUCUCAAAUUUAAGUGGUCCAUUAUUCUUAACCACAUAUUUUAUGGACCAUCCAGCUGUGAGGUUUUGUCUCAAAAACCUUCGGUACAUUUCUCCCACAUGCCACAAUUGUAUAUUCACAAUUACGUCUGAUACAUCACAUCAUGCCACUUGCCUCAAAUGAAUUUAAGUGAGUGAGGCAGUUGGAAGUAAUUAAGCUCUAUAUUGGUGGGUGGAGUGUUACUUCUGGGUACCCCUCAUCAUUUGUCUAUAAAAUGGUGAAGUCAGUUGCUACUGUUACCAUAAGAGCCAGCUCCGACUUUCUUUAAUUUCUUGCUUCAUAUCCACUAGCUACAUCUGUUGCCAAGUUAAUUUCAGUCCUAAUGGGGUUUCAUCCCCCACUCAUCUUUGCUAUUCUCAGUGUAAGCUCUGCAAUUUGAUUAACUUUUCCAUGCUCUCUCAUUGUACUCUAUAUAAACGAAAGUUUUGUGGUCCUAUAAUUCUCUCUCGAUUUUAUUUAGUACGUACUUAAGUGUUGUCCACUAAUUAAUUACACUUUGUGAGAUUUGAUUUUAAUUAGAGUUCGAAUUAAUGUUGCAGCUAGCAGCGGUUGCACAGGCAAACAAUGCUGCUCAACCAGCACCUCAACUUUACUGGAACUCCGUCCUGCCAAACACACAGAUGCCAAGAUCUAUCAGUGAACUUCUGCAUCCUGGUUUGUGUUGAGCUCUUUAGAAUCUUAGAUAUCUCUUCUACCUGCCAUUUUACUUAAAUAUGUUCGACCACAUAUUUAUCAGUUAACUACUGUCAUUACAUGAGUGACACAUAUUCACAAAUCGGCUGAUCACUUAUUUUCCAUUAUGACGUUGAUAUAUAAUUUGCAGACUCCACAAAUGAAGAAAAGAGCACAAAUGACGUUGGCAAACCUGAAACUUUCCCAUUGGGCAAUCAAAAUUACUCCAGUCAAAAAAAUUAUGGAACAGGCAAUAAACGUUACUGCAGUCAAAAAAGGUAUGGAAGAGGCAAGAAACGUUACUGCGAUCAAAAAAAGUAUGGAAGAGGUGCUUCUCCAUCUGACAAUCAACUACUCCAUUAUAAAGACUUAGCUAUUUUCUUCUUGGAGAAGGACAUGCGCCCUGGCACAACAAUGAAGUUCCAAUUCUCUAGAAAUUCAAACACGGCUACUUUCUUGCCACGAGAAAGCGCUCAAUCGAUCCCCUUCUCCUCUAACAAACUACCAGAAAUUUUCAACCAUUUUUCAGUGAAGCCAACAUCUGAGGAAGCCAAAACAAUUAAGCAAACAAUCGAAGAGUGUGAAGCUCCCGGCCUUAAGGGAGAGGAAAUAUAUUGCGCCACAUCUUUAGAAUCAAUGGUUGAUUUUAGCACUUCGAAGCUUGGAACAAGAAACGUUGAAGCAAUCUCGACGGAGGUAUUGGAAAAAGGAGCCACCAUGUCCAUGCACAACUAUACAACAAUGCCGGGACUGAAGAAGUUGGCCAGUGACAAAGUCGUUGUGUGUCAUAAGCAGAACUAUCCCUAUGCUGUGUUUUUCUGCCAUGCAAUAAAACAUACAGCAGCUUAUGUUCUCUUCCUGAAAGGCGAUGAUGGGGAGAAGGUUAAAGCAGUAACCAUCUGUCAUCUAGACACAUCAGAAUGGAACCCAGAGCAUAUGUCCUUCCAAAUCGUCAACGUUAAGCCCGGAACCAUUCCCAUCUGCCAUUUCAUUUCCACUGAUGCUAUUGCCUGGGUUCCGAACCACAAAUCUGCAUGAUCAUCACUUAGCACUGUACGUAUAAUUAUCUCCUUACUUAUUUCUGCCUCUUCAUCAUGUGGUGUAAGAUAUAUGAUGAGAUGAAGUUUUUGGGAUUAGUGGUUGGGUUGCCUGAAAAACACAGAUUACAGAAACUGCUUGAAAUUAACCCGAUCAUGUUUUCUCUUGUAACUAUAUAGACUUCAACUUGUACUCAUAAUAAAGCAUGCUAUAUUUAUGAAGAGAUAUUAAUCUAUAUAUAUUUUUUAUAUAUGCUUUGGCUUUGUGGUUCUACCCAAUGUUUGAGUGUUGAAUUGUUACGUUGGAAUAGGCUGCUAAUGCAUGUAGUUAGAGAAGCCUUCAUUUAUAUCAAAGUCCUCAAACUAUCAAGAACUAAUGUAUCCAGAAACAUAUACCAAGACGCAAAACAACAUAUUUUCCAUGCUCUGUCUGUAACACCAAAGCAAACUUCCUUGAUCACAAAAGGAUCAAAUUCCAGUACUAAUCUAAUCCAUCAUGUAAAGCAUACAAGUGCCUCCCUAAAUACUAUACUCUUUUUGUUAUUUCCUACUAUACUAUUUAAGAUUUAAAAUUCAGGUCAACCCAUAGAUUUCUCGCCUUUUUCUUCUUCAUCUCGUCGGGCUUGUCUUCUUCUUGAGGAUUGUAUAGGCCAAGGAAAUGCUUUGAGUUAGUUUUUGCGCUUUUGCGUUUUGGGCCUUGGAAGUUGGGACCCAAACCAACUUCACAAAAAGAAAACGCUCAGACUAUAAUGAGUGGAAAGUUAUAAGGGGUAAGUUAUAAGGAGUUCACUUUAUAGCCAUCAGAUCAAUCUAAGGGCUGGGGAGAAUUGAGAUAAAGUUUUAAAAUCGGGUAGGUGAGGAACCCAAACCCGAAUUGAAUAUCCAGCACGUCCGAAAAAGAAGAAGAAGAGGCAAGCACGUCCGAAAAAGAAGAAGAAGAGGCAAGGUCGAAGUUUGAACAGAAAAAACUCAUCUCUUUAAAACCCAUAGCUCUGAGAAACGGUUGAAGGCAACGGUUAACGACGGUUGUUGAAGCCACUCCGUUCUCCAGACCCUGAAAAAGUAUUUAUUUUGAGUAGAAGGGGCAAAUGUGUGGAUUCCGAAACAGUGAAGGGGCGAAGCAGUGGAAGGGGAAGGAGAGAAGCCGUAUUCGUUGGAAGUGGUAGGUUCCAUUUGUGGAGCAAAGCAACACAAAGACCCCGCACAGACACCUUGCGAUUGUUCAAUAACCAGCAUUUGGUGAGUAAUUUAUGGAAUUUGAGUUUAGGGUUAGAGUAAUGGUUUUCCCCAAUUUGUACCAUCAAUUUUGUUGGAUUUGGCAUCUCUUCUUUGUGCUUCAGUUGCAUGUUAAUUUUUGCUUGGGUAUAUGUUAAAAAAAGAAUGAAAAUCAAGUCAAUAACAAGUGAAUAACAUGUCAAUAAUGAUAUGAAUAAGAUAAUGGUGUUGAAUUGGAGGAGGCCCUCAAAACAUUCCACAUUUGAAGCAGUGCAUAGUGCAGAUUAUCUCUCUGGCGCUAGAAUAUAUAUAUAUUUUGAAAUAAAUAUGAUUUCCUUUGUUACUAAAUUUGCCUGAGAAACAUGAGAACAGAUAAUAAUAAACUCAUGAAUAGAAGUGCAAAGCAUUUGAUGAGUAAUUUAUGGAAUUUGAGUUUAGGCCCAGGAAAUUCCUUGACCCCAAAAAAAAAAAAAAAGUUGAUUUAAAAUUCAGGUCAACCCAUAGAUUUCUCGCCUUUUUCUUCUUCAUCUCGUCGGGCUUGUCUUCUUCUUGAGGAUUGUAUAGGCCCAGGAAAUGCUUUGAGUUAAUUUUUGCAUUUUUGCGUUUUGGGCCUUGGAAGUUGGGACCCAACCCAACUUCACAAAAAGAAAACAGAUUUGCCAAAAAUCAAAUUUCAAGUCUCUCCUCCGAUCGAAAUUUGGAUUUGAUGAACUAAAGUGGUUUUACUUUCUCCAUCAGUGUUUGAUAACUUAAUUUGUUAUUUACUUUUUUUUUAAAAAACUUUGGCUUAUAUAUAUUAGUUUUCUUUUUUCCUUCAUAUUCACCACCUUUAUGUUGCAUAAGUAUUUCAGUCUUAAUGGGUUUCCAUCUACCACUCAUCUUUGCUCUUCUCAGUGUAAGCCUUUUUUUUUUUUUAAAGCACAAGAUUAGAGGGGAGGGGGAUUUCUCAAUGUAAGCUUUGCAGUUUCAUAAUUAAUAUUUCCAAUAUCUCACUGUUAGUAAAAUACAGAAAAAGUACUAAUAACAUAUGCACAUGUUACUAAUUUAUUGAGAUAAAACACCAUUUUGCCCCUAGAAUAUUUUAUUAGGUUUAAAGUUGACUUUUUGACCAGGAAGGAAUUUGGGUAUUUAGACUAUAUCGUUGCGUAGAGCAUGGCGAGAUGAGUCCGUAGACACAUGAUUGGCUCGAAUCAGAGUUAUAAUGAGAGAGAUACGAUCAAAAUACCCUCAGUGGUAUAACCGUAAUUUUGGCUUAAAGGGUUUGAUAAAAUAUAAUUUUUCUUUCUUUCUUUCUCUCUCUCUCUCUCUCUCUCUCUCUCUCCUCUCUCUCACGACGGCAGUGAUAGCCGGCCACUUUUUGGCCAGCCAUGCUCUCGUCCGGCCACUAAAGUUGACGGGGCCGGUACCAAAAUGACCGGGCCACCAUCCUUUUCCAACCCCAGCCAGGCCCCACUGCCAGCAGUCGUGAUUUUGCUGAAAAAUGGAGAAGAAGCGGCCGAUUUCGUUCGAACUUCUCCGACUUCGUUCUCUCUCCUCCGGCCACCGAUUUCGAUGAAUGAGGUAUGGUUUCUCACCUACUUUUUAUGCUCUAGCUGCCUGUUGGGUAGGAUUCGAUCAAUUCCUUGCGUAGGUAGCUUGAUUUUCGAAUUGGAUUUCGGCCGGUUUUGGGAUCUCGAUUCCGGCCACUUCCGGUCAGUUUUUGGGGUACAUCCCAAAACAAAAGUGGUUCUAAAUAGGGUGUUAUACCUAGGGUAGGAACCUUGAACCGUAAUUUUGAGAAUUUUCGGUGAUGCCUAAUCGCUUUGGACACCUACGCUAUGCCUGCGUGUGGGCACUAUAGAAAAAGGGCAUUGUGUCCCGAUGCAAUCCCCUUGUUGUCUUGAGCGCGUAGGUGUGCUCGGAUUUCAAUUUGGAUACCGUUUGAAUCUCGAACGAAUAUCGCAUAUUGUGCGUUAUUCGGGGUCGAUAGGUUUGAACUGUUGGAUAGUCUUAGAUUUAUAAUAUGUUAAUCUAGACAUUCUUAGGAUCGAAUGGGAUUAAACGGAUCGUAAAACGGAGUCCCGGAUACUCCAAAAAUGCCAACCCUAGGGCUAGGUUCCUAGUAACCGUCCGAUCGUGCGAUCGUGAGCGAUCCGACCGUUUGAUCCGAACCAAACUUGCAGGACGUGUAUCCUAAACCUUGUAGAACCCAUAGGAACUUUCGGAUUAGAAUUUGGAGGUCGUGGGCCCCUUGGGCCGUUUGACUAAGUUUGGGUAGUUUGACCCUUGGCUGAUCGUGAGUCUUCAGAGGUCUUGAGCGUUGUUGAGCUAUGUUGACUAGGUUUAGACUUUUAGAGUGUUUAUUAUUAUCAUAGGAAACUAUUAGAUAUUAUUUUAAUAAUUGAAAUUAUCAAAUUUAUGUUUAUGUGCAUGAUUGUUGGUCUAAAAAUAACAUUGUUUUCUUGAUAAAAUUACGUUGCAGUCUACUAUAGACUGGUAUCACUAAAUGGAGAUUACCUCUAUUAUUAGUUUAGAUAAUUAAGAGUAUGUCAGUUUGAAGUGCUAUAUGCACUACCCUAAGUACCACCCUGUGAUUGUUAGGUCCCAUGUGGUGUAGAUUAUACAGCGUCAGGACAGACCCCAUACGUGGCUUUGGAUGUUCUGGCGCAUGGGGGAGAUUAUGUAAUGGUUAGGUCAUACGUGGCGUAGGUUAUUCAGCGUGUUGACAGACCCUAUACGUGGCGUUGGAUGUUCCAGUAUGGAAAGAUUUUGUGAUUGUUAGGUCCCACGUGGCGUAGAUUAUCCGGCGUGAGGACAAACCCCAUUCGUGGCUUUGGAUGUUCCUGCGUAUGGGGGAGAUUAUGUGAUGGUUAGGUCACACGUGGCGUAGGUUAUUCGGCGUGUUGGCUAACCCCAUAAGUGCCGUUGGAUGUAACGACCGGUCCUAAAUAAAUUAGUGAAUAUUAAUUUAUUCAGAGAAAAUACCAUUUUGCCCAUAGAGUAUUUUAUUAGGUUCAAAGUUGACUUUUUGAUCAGAAAGGAAUUUGAGAAUUUCGAUUAUACCGUUGCAUAGAGCACGGCGAGAUGAGUCCGUAGACACGUGGUAUGCUCGAAUCGAAGUUGUAACGAGAGAGAUACGAUCAAAAUACCCUCAGUGGCAUAACCGUAAUUUUGGCAAAAAGGGUCGAUAAAAUCAUAUAUAUAUAUUUUCUCUCUCUCUCUCUCUCUCUCUCUCUCUCUCUCUGCGAUAUUGUCCCUCUCUCUCUUUGAUUCACUGCCAUCUGCCCACGGCAGGACUUGAGACUGGUCACGUUUGAACCGGCUCGAUGUCCCGAUCACGUCGCACCCAAAAUGCAAAUGGAAACCUUGAAUUCCAGCCACGGCUUCGACUGGUUUGAACUGGGUUUUUCCCGGCGUUGCGCCACCGCCUCCGCCGCCCAAUUCCGGUGAAACAGGUAUAAUUCCUCACCUAUUUUUCGAGAUCCAGCUGUUGUUGUGUAGGAAUUAGACGAUUUUCAUGUUUAGGAACUCGAUUUAGAAUUUAGGUUUUGGUCGAAUUUUCAAAGUGAAAUUUCGGCCACUUCCGCUGGUUUUUCGGGGUAUGUCUAAGAACAAAAGUGGUUCCAAAUAGGGUGUUAUACCUAGGGUAGGAACCUUGAGCUGUGAUUUUGAGAAUUUCCGGCGAUGCGUAUUCGCUUUGGACACCCACGCGCCGACAGCGCGUGGGCACUGUAGAAAAGGGGCAUUGUGUCUCAAUGCGAUCUGCUUGUUGUCUUGAGCUCGUAGGUAUGCUCGAAUUUCAAUUUGGAUACUGUUUGAGUCUCGAACGGAUAUCGCAUAGUGUACGUUAUCCGGGUUUGAUAGGUUUGAACCAUUGGAUAGUUUUGAAUUUGAUAUAUGUUAAUCUAGGCAUUUCUAGGAUCAUGUAGGAAUUCAGGGAUCAUGAAUCAGAGCCCCGGAUGUUCCGAUUUAAUAACUUAAAGUUUAUGUUUAUAAUAACUAUCAGAUCGUGCGAUCGUGAGCGAUCCGACUGUCUGAUCUGGACCAAACUUGCAGCACGUAUAUCCUAAACCUUGUGGAACAUAAAAAAAUUUCGGAUUAGAAUUUGGAGGUCGUGGGCCCCGUGGGCCCAUUUAACCAAUUAUGGGUAGUUUGAUCCUUGGUUGACCGUGAGUCUUCCGAGAUAGUUUUACCUUCCUAGGAGGAUUAUAAUGACCCUAGUGAUAGGUCUUGACCGUUGUUCAGCUAUGUUGACUAGGUUGAGACUUCUAGAGUGUUUAUUAUAUUAUUGUAGGAAACUCUUAGAUAUUAUUUUAAUAAUUGAAAUUAUGAAAUUUAUGUUUAUGUGCAUGAUCGUUGGUCUAAAAAUAAUAUUAUUUUCCUGAUAAAAUUACGUUGCAGUCUACUAUAGACUAGUAUCACUAAAGUGGGAAUACCUCUAUUAUUAGUUGAGAUAAUUGGGAGUAUGUCAGUUUGAAAUGUUAUACCCUAAGUACUACUCUAUGAUUGUCAGGUCACCCGUGGCGUAGGAUUUUCCGGUGAGAUGACAGACCCCAUACGUGGCGUUGGAAUUUCCAACGUAUGGAGAGAUUAUAUGAUUGUUAGGUUUCACGUGGCGUAGGAUUUUUCAGCGGGAUGACAAACCCCAUACGUGGCAUUGGAAGUUUCAGCGUAUGGGGAGAUGAUAUGAUUGUUAAGUCACACGUGGCGUAGGUUAUUUGGAGUGCUGACAGACCCCAUACGUGGCGUUGAAAUUUCUGGCGUAUGGAGAGAUGAUAUGAUUGUUAGGUCACUUUGGAUGUUCUAGCGUAUUGGGAGAUUAUGUGAUUACCAGUGAGAUGAAUAAAGGAUUGUUAUGUUAUAUUGGGAAAAACAUGUUUGUAGAAAGAAUUACGUGUGGCUUGAUCCCUCAGUAAGGGUACGUAGGCAGCCUAGGGUAGUGCCUUGGUGCAGUCGCUGACUAAACAUUAUAAUGUUGUUUUUAGGUUUGAUUAUAUGGUAUUAUGGGGCAAGGCCCCUAGGACUAUUGGUGAUAAUUCAUAGAUGGUAGUGGAUGCAUGCUAGAAAUUUGUAGGAAGUUAUUUCAUGUGGAUUGCAGUGGUACUCGUAAAAUUUAUUUGAGUUCCUUAAUUGCAUUGUUAAUAUAUUAAUUUACUUAAGAGUACUGCUAGUAGUUCUGCCUUGAUUUAUUUGAAGGCUGGAGGCCUUGUCUGGAAACUGUGUGCAAUUAGAUUGUGUGUGCUGGCAGUUGACUUUUUAAAUUGUGAAUUUUGUGCAGGUUGAAAUUUGGGAAAUGUUCAAUUUACAGGGGAGACUCUGCUGAAAUUUCGGUAGAAAGUCUUGUGCCCUUAUUCCUUUUUGGGGAAAAGGAUAUAGUUUUAGAAGUGGCGAUGUCGGGAAUUUCCACAGGAUUCGUCUCGGGUUUCGGGAAAUUCGGGGCGGGUCUGAAAAAGUUGUUUCAGUUUUGGCAAGUAUCGGAAAAGACCAAAAUUUUCCGACUUUAUUAUUACUAGAAACAAGGUCGAAGUAUUUACCAAUCAUGUGGCCUUCCAAGUGCUCUAGGUUAAGCCAGGAACCGUUCCUAUCUGCCGUUUCCUUCCCAACUAUGAUCAUGUUGUCUGGGUUCCAACCCACAAAUCUACAUUGGGCUACGUAUUUGAAUUUGUACUAAAGCGUGAUCUAUAGUAUGCAUAUAUUGGAUAAGUUUGAGAUCAGUGGCUUGGGUGUCCGCUGAGCUUGAACAAGUUUGGGUGUGCUGAGUGUUUCCAUGGGUGUGUUGAUGAUCAUGGUUAUUAGAUUUGUGAUAGUUUGGGCUCAAUUUCAACAGAACUCAUCUCAAGCCUAGAUAGUUGAUUCUUAAGUUUAUCAGGAAAAAAAAUUAAAAAUUAAAAAAUCUAAAGUUAAGCCCAAGGCGCCGAACUUGGACUUCUCACCAAACUGUGCAUAAAUUGAAAUAUUUAAUAGAAGCCCAAGAUUUUUGAAGCACAUAAUAUCUACAAAAAUCUACAAAGUGUAAUACUUUACAAACUUCUUAUGUGUACCAAUUUCUGCUCAAAUUAAUUUCUCUGUGGUGCUGAGAUUCAUCAUAAUUUUAGUAGAAAUUGGAAGUUUUCAUCAUUUUUGCUUUAAGUCUCUCCUCCACUCACUAAUAAAGAUUACUCAAGUGAGUUUACAAAACAUUUUUUUUCUACUCUCUCCUGAAGACUACACAUCUUCUCAAAAGAUUAGAUCACUUCACAUCUUGUAUAUGUGAAAACUAAUGCAAAAAGUUGAAACUUUAUCAUAAAACCUCGACAAAAAUUAGCUCUACUUAGAACAUUAAAUUUGGAUUCGUUGAUUUAAAUGGCAAUUUGACACUUCAUAGAAAUUUUUACAUACAUGUGUUAGUGUUUGAUCACUUCACUUAUUACUUACUAUAUUUAUUCCAUGAUUCUCCCUCAAGUUAUGUAAAUAUUAUUAUCAAACAUUUCAAUUCAUUUGUGAUAUUUCUUGUCCAUCUUUCAAUGUACCCUGAAAUCCAUUAGCCACAUAUGAUGACCAAAAUCCACACUCUGUUGUUUGCAAACGUUCAAUAUACGACUUGCAUCCACAGUCCUGACCCAAAUGAAAUGCGGAAACUGUCAAGCUAACUGUAGGGAGGACUAUAUUUGAUUUUACCUUAAAGACUGAUCCGAAACCACCUUCUCCAAGUUUAUUGUUGUUUGAAUAGUUUUUGGUUGCACAAACAACAGCGGCCAAGUCAAAUAAUGGCAAUUCCAGAUCUUCCUUUUGGCCGGGCUUCAGUUCUCCUGUGAAGUACGUAGUGAAGUAAAUAAUGUAGCAUGGAACCUUAGCUUAGAAACCAGAGAGGCAACAGCAAAAAUUUUCUAUAGAACUGAACCUACCUAUCUUAGAAAAUGAAGGGGCAGAAGAGUAGAAAAUCAAAUAGCUUACCAUAUUUUUGUUGCUGGUUCUUCCUCACAUAUAAUAGCAGGGUAAGGCCCAGGGUCAGCAGUCCAGUAGACAACACAGUACUGGUUACUAUGAUCUUUGUAUUGUGUCCUUGAUCUAGGAAUGAAGUAUUUGAAAGCAGAAGAUUGAGGAGUCAGAAAUUCAUAAAGAAAAAAUCUCUACUUUUUAUCAUCCAACGAACAAUUAAUGCUAGUUUCUGAGACAGUUCUAAAGAAAUAUUUUUCUAACAAUGUCAAAAGUUUUCUGGCUCUAUCUUGUUUCUAAUCAUGUCACUGUUGGAAGAUUUCUUUCUUCUUUUUUCCUUGGUGGCUUUUAUUUUUCUUUCAAACUUUGUUUUAAACAGCAAGAUGAUUCCAUACCUAGUUCUGACGAAGCCAUUCUUAUGUAAAUAUCUUGCCCAUUUAUAUUGGAAUAUCUUAUAUCAACCAGAUCGCUGAACCACAGCAAGGACCCCCUUCCUCCAUCUCGGAUAUCCAAAUUUGAAAAAGCGGCGCAGGAGCAGUUGUUCAUGCACAUCAUCUCACAUUCCUUGAGGUUCAUAAUUGUGUUAUACUAGGAUUGUUCUGUACUUUAUUUCACCCCAGUGUACUUCUUAAAGAUGUCUCCACUGCAAUUCAGUUGGCUCUUUCUCACAGAUCUAUAUGACCAAUCCACCAAGUCCCAGUCUUGUUGAAAGUCGGUAUAAAUCCUUUCAAGCAGCUACGUACUGGGGACUUGUCAAUACAACAUGCACCAUUCGGACCACAUAUUCCAUAUUUGUCGCAGAUAUCAGUCGUUGCUCUUAGAUAAACAACCCAACCUUGGUUUCCAUCACUCCCGAUGUAGCUCAGCCCAAAUCCAUCUUGAGUUAACGCCAGCCUGAAAAGAGUUGAGCUGUUGAGAAGCUUAUAACCAUAAUAUACUUCAUCAUCAUUAUCCAACACAAAAUCAUAUGUUGGAUUUAAAUUAUGCAUCCCACUAAAUUGGAUUCCAUUCCAUGGUGCAGUCCGAUAUUUUAUAACAGAACCCUCCCUCAGAAUUAAUUCAUGGUACCCAUAAGGACCAAGUUGAUAUGGGUAAUGUCCUUGAGAAGGAUCCUGGGGGCUUUUCCAGGGUGUAAGAUGCCAAUUAAAACCUGUGAUUUUGUUCCUAACAAGCUUCAUACCUGGUAUUAAUGUAUCUCCUGGGUAAUCAAAACUCUGCCAUAAAAUAUUAUCAGAGUCAUUACGACCAUUGCCAUCUAUCACAACAAGAUUUCCGGAAUCCAAAAUCUGUGCCACUGGAUUCUAUGAAGAACUUGAUGUGUUGGAAGACCUGUAGUGUUCUUUGUUGAAUAUUUGGAUUGCAAAGGGAGCAAGAAAUGUACUGAGAGAGAAAGAGAGAGAGAGAGAGAGAGAGAGAGAGAGAGAGAGAGCAGUGAGCCUUAGAUUGUUCUAACAGUUUUCUUACUCUGCAUGAACAUAGCAGCAGAGCUUAUAUUCCUUCAUGACUGUUACAUGUUCUCUCUUACAUCAGUAGAUUCAAAUCUAACGGUUUGUAAUAGUAAGCCAAUGUGAGUAUGACACAUGGCAAUACACAGCUGUCCUAACAGCUGGGAAUUCAAAACAGACUCUAGCAUUGCACCUGGCAUAUAAGCACAAGGCACUCAGCUAACACAAAGAUUAAAAACAGAUUGAAUAUAAACUGACAUAGAACUUACUAACUAAUCUGAAAUUAGCUAGACAGUUUACAUUUUAACACUCCCUUCUAAAGUGCUAGCUGAUUUCACUCCAAGCAUUCUCCUCAAAUAGUCAAACCUGUCUUUGGGAAGAGCUUUGGUGAAGAUAUCAGCAAUCUGCUCUUCUCCUUUGCAGUAGAGCAGUUCAAUCACUUCUUCUUGUAUUGCAUCUCUAAUAAAAUGAAACUUCCUUUUAAUAUGCUUGCUCCGUUGAUGAAAAACAGGAUUUUUAGCCAUUGCUAUGGCUGAAGUGUUGUCACAAAACACAGUUGUUGCAGUGGUCUGUUCUUCCCCAAAAUCUUCAAGAACAAACCUGAGCCAAAUGGCUUGUGAUGUAGCUUCUGCUGCACUCACAUACUCUGCCUCUGCAGUAGAGAGAGCCACACUGUGUUGUUUGACUGAUGCCCAUGAAAAAGCACCACUUCCAAAUGAAAAUGCAUAUCCAGAAGUGCUUUUCAUAUCUUCCUCAGAUCCACUCCAGUCACUGUCACAGUAACCAACUAAGAGUGCAGAUUUUCCUGUCACAUACUCAAUUCCAUAGUCAAUUGUGCCUUGUAUGUACCUUAGAACCCUUUUAGCUGCCCCAUAGUGCAUCUUAGAAGGGUUAUGCAUGAAUCUUGCAAGCAGGCAGGCAGAGAACAUGAUAUCUGGCCUGGUUGCAGUAAGGUACAGCAGGCUGCCUACAAUUUUUCUGAACAAACUUUCAUCUGCAGCAUCACUUCCAUCCUCUCUUUUCAAUUUAUCAGUAGCCACUAAUGGAGUGCUUACUGACUUGCAGUCUUUGAGUCCAAACUUAUCCAAGAGAGUGAGAGCAUACUUCUUUUGAUGAAUGAAGAUGCUCCCUUCAGUUUGUGUUACUCCCAUACCAAGAAAAUGGUGGAGUAAACCCAAAUCAGACAUCUCAUACUUGCACAUCAUUUCAGCUUUGAAUUCUUUCAUCAUUUCAUCUCUACUUCCUGUGUACACUACGUCAUCUACAUAGAUUGACACUAUUAGUGUUCCCACCUUCCUUUGUUCUCACAUAGAGAGUGGCUUCACUUGGACUUCUGUGAAAACCACACUGAUUCGAGUAGGUGUCAAUUUCACUAUACCAGGCCCUUGGAGCCUGCUUCAACCCAUAGAGGGCUUUUCUUAACCUAUACACCUUAUCCUCAUCAUCUUUAACCACAAAACCAUCCGGUUGAUCAAUAUAAACUUCUUCUUCAAGGACACCAUUUAGGAAGGCUGACUUGACAUCCAAUUGCCAUAGUUUCCAGCCUUUCUGAGCAGCAAGAGCUAUGAGAGUUCUAAUGGUGUCUAACCUUGCUACAGGAGCAAAGGUUUCAUUGAAAUCAAUCCCUGGUUUUUGUGUGUAUCCCUUGGCAACAAGUCUUGCUUUAUGUUUUUGAAUGGAGCCAUCAAGAUUAAGCUUAAUUUUGAAUAUCCACUUCACUCCCACAAUUGGUUUACUACUUGGCCUGUCAACCAAUUCCCAACUGGAGUUUUUCUCUAUCAUAAGUAUCUCCUCAGUCAUAGCCUUCCCCCAAGCUUCAUCUUUGACUGCUUCUUCAAAAUUUUCAGGUUCAAUGAUGCUCAUCUUGCAUUGAGCAUACACUUCACUCAAACUCUUCCAUUUCUUUGGGGUGUUAUCAUAAGUUUCUAAUGGAGCAGAGUCUUGAGUAGCAUGCACAUCAUUACUUGUUUGUGUUUCCAUAGGAGACUGUACAAUCUGUUGCUGUAACAGAUUUGGUUAUGAAUCCAAAUCUGAUACAAUUGAACUUACUCCAUCACCCCAAGACAUAGGGAUUUGCAAUGCCUCAUUGGUUUCCCAAUUCCACAUUGCUUCUUCAUCAAAAAUAACACUCCUAGACAGCUCAAUCUUUUGAGUUCUCAAGUUGAGCACUCUAUACCCCUUUUCACAUACACCAUAUCUUACAAAUACUCCCUUCUCACCUGUGUCUUCCAGCUUGUGCCUUUUCUGUGUGGGGAUGUGAAUAUAGCAUAGAGAACCAAAUAUUCUCAAAUGCUUGACACCUGGUUUUCUUCCACCGAACUUUUCAAAUGGAGUGGAAUUGUCCAGUGCACUUGUAGGACAUCUGUUCUGCAAAUAUACAGCUGUAUUGACAGCUUCUGCCCAAAACUUCAAAGGGAUUUUCUUCUCAUACAUCAUGGCUCUUGCCAUUUCCAUCACAGUACGAUUCUUUCUCUCUGUAACUCCAUUCUGUUGUGGAGAGUAGCCUACUGNNNNNNNNNNNNNNNNNNNNNNNNNNNNNNNNNNNNNNNNNNNNNNNNNNNNNNNNNNNNNNNNNNNNNNNNNNNNNNNNNNNNNNNNNNNNNNNNNNNNNNNNNNNNNNNNNNNNNNNNNNNNNNNNNNNNNNNNNNNNNNNNNNNNNNNNNNNNNNNNNNNNNNNNNNNNNNNNNNNNNNNNNNNGGUGUGGUCAUCAAUGAAGGUGAGGAAAUAUCUGUUCCCUCCAAGAGUGAUGGUCUGCAUUGGACCACAAAUGUCUGAGUGAAUCAGUUCUAGAGGUUGAGUGGCUCUCCAAGCUCCUUCCUUAUCAAAAGAGCUUCUGUGAUUCUUGCUUUCAGCACAACCUGAGCAGACCUUCUCAUGUUCUUGUAAAUUAGGCAUUCCCUGAACCAUAUCUCUCUCUUGUAACAACUUCAAACUAAUAUAGUUUAGGUGCCCAAAUCUUCUGUGCCACAGCCAGGAUGUUUCUCCAACUGUUGCUCUGUUUGCCAUAGGAGGAUUAACAUAGUCAAGAUUUAAAGGAAAACAUUUGUUUCCCUUCAUUGGCACUCUUGCAAUGCAAUCUUCCAACUGCCUAUCUCCAUAGAUAUCAACUGCAUUAUCACCAAAUACAAGCCAAUGCCCAUGUUCUAUCAUUUGACCUACACUUAGCAAAUUUUCAUCUAAACUUGGUACAAUCAUGAUUUCUUUGAUAUAUCUAGUCACACCCUUCAUUUCUAUAGCCAAAGUCCCUUUGCCUAUUAACUGCACUAGAUCACCAGUCCCCAUUUUGACUUUACUCUUCAUACUUUUAUCAACAUUUACAAGUAAUGACUCAUGGGAAGUCAUGUGAUUGCUGCAUGCACUAUCAACAUACCACAUAUUCACAUUCUUUCCAAUUGUUGCAGCAUGACAUGCAUAGAACAUAAUGGCAGGUUCAGUUACCUGAUUUGCAAUGUUAGCAAGUUUCCCUGCCUUGUUUGCUUGGUCACAGUCCUUAACAAAAUGACCAAAUCGAUUGCAGCCAUGACACUUUGGUUUUCCUUUAAACCAACACUCACCAUAGUGUAACUUCUCACAAUGUUUGCAUUUUCCAGAUUUGUCUCCUUGACUUGGUUUUCCCCCUUGAUUGGCACUGUUUUGGGGUUUAGAAUCCCAUUUCUUAUCCUUGGACUUCCAAUUCUUCUUUGAUUUAUUAGAGCCAGAACUAGAACUUGAUUGAGAUCCUUUUGAGUUUAUGCUCAUGCUGCUGAAAGCUUUCUCAGUGGUGCUUUCUGCAUGUCUGUCAAGGCGCUGAGCAAAACCUCUUAAUGCUGCAAUUACCUCCUGCACUUCAAUGGUUUCAAUGUCUCUAGUUUGCUCAAUCACAUAGCAGACUGGAUCAAAUUCCUUGGUUAAGCUUAUUAGCAGUUUUUGAACUAUCCUCCCUUUGGUCAGAUCUUCCCCAUAUCCCUUCAUCUGAUUUACAAGCUCAAGUAACCGAGUGAUGUAUCCAGACAAGAUCUCAUCAUCCUUCAUCCUGGUGUACUCAAAAUCUCGACGCAGACCCUGCAACAUGAUGGAUCUGACUUGCUUAUCACCAUGAAACUCCUGAUGCAAGAUAUCCCAAACACCUUUUGAGGUUUCUUCAUUUGAGAUUCUGGGAAAGAUGUCAUCUGAAACAGCACCUUGGAUAAUACCAAGAGCCUUAGCAUCUUUCAUCAACAAGGACACCAUCUCUGAAUCUGAUGACCCUUCUUUAUCAGCUUUUGAAUCUGGAACUUGAAGGCCUUUCUCAACCAAAUUCCAGAUUCCAUGAGAUUUGAAAAUUGUUCUCAUUCGAAUCUUCCAAAACUCAUAGUUCUCCCCAUUGAAUAUUGGAGCUCUAAGAUCACUCCCUCCUGACCCAGCCAUCUGAGACCAGACUCAAUGAGUUGAGAGUAGGAAAUUUCCCGUUGGAUUUCCAGACUCAGCUCCCACAGCUUCAACGCCCUCUAUCCAGAUCCAACCUGCGCACCUGAUACCAUGUUGAAUAUUUGGAUUGCAAAGGGAGCAAGAAAUGUACUGAGAGAGAGAGAGAGAGAGAGAGAGAGAGAGAGAGAGCAGUGAGCCUUAGAUUGUUCUAACAGUUUUCUUACUCUGCAUGAACAUAGCAGCAGAGCUUAUAUUCCUUCAUGACUGUUACAUGUUCUCUCUUACAUCAGUAGAUUCAAAUCUAACGGUUUGUAAUAGUAAGCCAAUGUGAGUAUGACACAUGGCAAUACACAGCUGUCCUAACAGCUGGGAAUUCAAAACAGACUCUAGCAUUGCACCUGGCAUAUAAGCACAAGGCACUCAGCUAACACAAAGAUUAAAAACAGAUUGAAUAUAAACUGACAUAGAACUUACUAACUAAUCUGAAAUUAGCUAGACAGUUCACAUUUUAACAUUCUUAUGGUCGGCAGGGACAAGAAUUCCAGGGCUGCUCAACUUGAAUACACCUGAUGAACCAGUGAGGGGUGUGUUUCUUUUAGUCUGCACUAUAUAUGCAGGGUCUGACUCUAAUUAGAAGAUAAUUGUAUUAAUUUGGUAAAGCUUUGUCUGUAACUGUCUCGCACCUUAAAAAAAUUUCACAAUUAGCAGCAUUGGCAAUACUUGAUUAGAAAGCAGAAACCCUACAGUAUAUAGUUAAGUUGAGUAGCUGGGAAGACAAUUAGUAAGCUUUCAAUACUAAAGUUGAAUAUUGGGGAGACAAAUUACUAGAGCUUCAAGUUCAGAUAAAUAGGAUGAAUUUCUCUUAAGGGAUCCCCUUUCACUGUAGCUUGGAGUAGAAUUCAUUUUGACACAAUAUCAAUUAUCAAUGUAAACACGUUACUGAUGCACUAUUGACAAUAUCGAUGCACGUCAUAUCAUAUUUGUGGGAGUAAAUUUCCUCACGAGAAUAUUUGGUUCAAAAGAUUCCCCUUUUUUUUUUUUUUGCCGCCUCUUUCUCCUUGCAAAAUAGAACAAAUAAGAGGACCACACCCGGGGGGUGUUGGCCAAAGGCCCUCCGAUGCUAAAUUAGUUCAAGUAUUUGUAAGAAAAAUACUAGCUAACUAGGGUACAGAGGUGUAUUUAAGGUGUAAACCGGGCAGCCGAAGUCUUAUGUAAAAGAGAGAGAGAAAGGAGGUGGCUAGCGUUUGAGAGGAAUUUUCUGCAGAGUUUUUAGUAGAGAUUUCAGACGUACCUCAACCAUUGUGUGUGGCCAUCUUUUUAUAGUGGUCUUGGAGGCUAGGGUUUCAGAGGAAUAAUUCCGUAGAUGGAAAGGAAUUAUUCCUCCCCUAUUUGGAAUUGAUUUGAUUAAUUAGGGAUUUGAUUUAUUAGGGUAAAUCAAAUCCCUAAUUGUGGUAGGUAUCAAAUCAAAUCCUUUUUUAAUUAGGUAACUCCUCAUUUAAUUGGGAAUUGUGGUAGGAAUCAAAUCAAUUCUCAACCUAAUUAGGUAACGUUCAAUUUAAUUGGGUAAUUCCCAAUUAAAUUGAGUAACUCCCAAUUAGGUUGAUUAAUUCCCAAUUAGAUCAAAUAAUCCCCUAAUUGAAGGAAUUAUUUGACCUAGGGUCUGAUUUAAUUCGAUUCCCACAAAUGCCCCCCAGCUUCUGCAUGGUGCAUGGUGGCACGUAGGAGAUGUAAAUUAUCUGUUGGGCUGUCCAGCUGUAACUGGGCUUCCUUCGUGGACCUGGGCUCCCGAGUAGAGGAGGUGUUUGACUUGCCAAUUUUAUGAACACCCAAUUGGAAAGGGUUUGAGAUUCCUUGUAGGUCAAGGAAUUUUGCUCCUUAUAAAUGUAGGGCUCCUCCAAAUUAUUCUCGACAUCAGAAAUCUACUCCUCCAAAUUUGUUAGUGAGAGAGAGAAGACUUUGGAGAAUUUUUCAGCGUGCUUGAGACUUCAUCUUUGCAGCCCAUCCAAGGUAAUUUGAUAGGAAGAAUUUUAUUUUGAGUUGCUAUGACUUUUGGCAGCAAGCUGUGAGACUAAGGGCAUGUCUUGAGGUGCGCGCUAGGGCUUUAGGCAUGGCAAGAGACUCGGAAAGGCUAGCAGGUUCGUUUCCACCUACGCUGGGCUCAAGGAGAAGGCAACAGGGCUUCAGGCCUUGUGGAUGAAGUGGGCUUUCGCUGGGAGCAAGAGGCCUGGAGCUGAGGCAAGGAGACAAUGGGCCUGGUACGAGGUGUGGGCUGAGCAUGCCAGCUUUGGAGCAAGGGGGCCAGGACGACUGCUGGGCAGGAGGUGCGCUGGGCUGCAUGCGCGAGCUGCGCCGAGUGCUGGCUGGAGGAGCGAGCUGGGCUGCGCGCUAGGCCAUUCAUGCUGGGCUACUUCCGUUUUUUUUUUGUUUUUUUUUAAAUUUUAUUUGCUGUUGCUGCUUUUUUUUUUGUUUUUUUGUUUUUUUUUUGUUUGGUAUUCUAACUCGUAAUUUUUUUUUUCUUCUUACAGCUACUUGUUGAUCAACCAUGUCUUCCGGAGAUGGUAGCAAGGCUCCAAGCUCUUAGGUCCUUUUGUAUUUAUGGGGAGGCUCCAUAGUGCAUGGCAAGAAGUUUGUGGUCAACUUGCAUCGCGUCACGACUUAUGCUCAGUUCCAGAAGUGGCGGGCCACUUAUGCGUCUGCCAUUCCAGAUGACGUGCUGGUCAAGCUAUUGAAAUCUCAAACUGAUAACGAGCCUUUGGUGGACGUGAGUGAUCAUGAUGCUAGGAUCAUUACCUUCCGUCCUUUUUACUUCUCUUUAGGCUUCAAAUUCCCGUUGUCAAAGCUCUUCAAGAAGGUGUUCUGUGCCAUGGGGUGUGCUCCGAGCCACUGUACUCAUGUGCUUCAAGAAUUUGAGUCGUUUCUUCAUGUUGGAGCUGACGAUGCGAGAGUUCUUUUAUUUUUUUCGAAGUGAGGCACUUUGAGCGGUACGCCCAAGUUCGUAUCUACAAGGCCAAGCUGUUCCACGGUCUCAGUCAAGGAGAUCACGCUUGACAUGAAGAUGUGUUGGAGGUCAGCAGACGGUGGGAGGGUGACGUCGGUGACGGCCCACCUGUUCCCAUCACCUAUUGUGAUGGUAUGUCUCUUUACGAUUUUUGAUAUGCUCCUUUUAUUUGAAUUUCUUGAAGUGUGGCAGACUAACUUCUAUCUUCUGCUCGUAGUGAGUGACAUUAGCAAGCAAUUGGAGCUCCGACCAGACAUGGCUAAGGUCCGUCGUGCUUUGAACAUCCCUCUAAGGUUUCACGAGUGGCGCUGGCUGUUGAGUGAGUACCGGGAGGAAGACGGUGGUUUUCUCCUUGCCGAGGAUGUCGAAAGGUGGAAGCAGAACGAUCCUGACCCUGAUGAUCUGCUUGGCAGACAGGAAGAAUGUUCUGCUUAAUCGCUCUUAAAGAGAAAGGCUGCUGCCAAAUCUUUGAGAUGUGAAGCUACUUCUUCGCAUGCAAAGGAUGGGUCUCCAUCGAGGAAGAAACCAAGGCUCCCUUCUGCUGAGAAGACUCAAGUGGGGUCUGCUCCCUCAUCAUCUGCCAGGGUUAAGCAUCUCGUGGGUGCAGAUAGCAAGAAGGUUGGUGGUAUGCAUGGUACUCGGGGUGUUCUGCCCAAGCUUCCUGCUGACACGCUCGAAAACCAUGAUAUACUUCGUGAAGUGGCUCGUGCCCAACCUAGUUCUGCCAAGCGUCAAAGAGAUGUAGACAUUCCUCCUAGAAGUUCGAGUUGUCUGCAUCGGUCAAAAGAUGGAGACCGAAGCGGGAGGUCUGCUUAUGAUCCAGCAUUAUUGACUCAUUUGGAGAUGAGGUUGGCGAAGGCUAAGAAGGUGAAAGAGUCAUCUGCCCGGGUUAAGGGUUCUUCCUCGGCGUUGGUAGUUGGUCCCAAGAUGAACAAGUCUAGCUCUGUAGGGGAUGCAUGCGUAUCUGAUCUGCUCAAGAUGAACUUCCUAUCAAACCCGUCCUCUUGUGUUGAGUUGGUUGAUCACAUCCCUCAAGCGGGCGAUCUAGGCACUUUCUCGUGCCUUUCCUUAGAAAAAUGAAGGAAAAUGACAUUCCAUCUGAUUCAAAAAGGACUGGUUUUUGCUACUGAGACUAUUUGGAACUCAUCUGCUAUUGCCCCUCUUCUGUCCAACUCAGCGAGUUGGAGAAGAAGAAUGCUGAUUGGCUAGACAGCUUUCCGCCGAGCAGGCCCGUUACGAGAAGAAGAUGUCUGAUUUGAGGGCGAUGAUAUCUGAGCUGAAAAGCUCCCUUACCGAGAAGGAUUUCGAGCUCAACUCUUCUGCUGCUGAUUUGGCUAGUCGAAAAGAUACCUUCUUUCGUCUUGAGCAUAAGAAUGCUGACAUCUUCCUUAGCUAUAACAAACUCCUGGCUAGAUUUCAUGCCUACCAUAAGUCUGCUAAAGAAUCCAAGACAGAUGGAGCUGCUGAAGGCGUAGCCGGUCAGGUGGAUGCCGAAGAGGCUGCAGCUUAAAAGUCUUCUGCUGGCGUCUCAGAGUAGAUGAAGACUCUUUUUUGUUUCUUUUCAGCUUUUGUAGUUUGCUUUAUUGUUUAGAAUAACUGGUCUUAUUUGACCAUCUUCUUUUUGUUGAACUUGGCUGGUUGGUCUGUUUGUUAGGGAAAUUUCAGUUACAUUUUCCAACUUCAAUUUGCAUAUUUGACUUGUGAACUGCUUAAGUAACCAGCCUGUGUUUUGAUUGCACAUCCCCCUUUAGAGAUUUGUGAGUACCAGGGUCCCCCUUGGAGGACUCCGGCCAUGCACAGUAUAUCUCGUAGGAUGGUUCCCCUUAGGAAGUUGGCGAGUACCAGGGUCCUCUUUGAGAGACUCCGGGUGUGUUCUGCACAUCCCGUAUGAUGCCUUAAUCGUCGCCUUGCUUCUCCCGUAGGACGCUGCUUAUAGGCAACUAUAUGACUAUCCUGCCUUUCUUAGGAAACGGAUAGGAACCUGGAUAUUUCCCGCAUGAAGCAUGGAGACCUCCUUUUAAGAAAUUUUUGGUGCACCAUGCUUCUCCCUUAGGACGCUUUUUUCGCAGGCUGGGUCUCCAAAUGGACGCUUUUAGUCGUUGCCCUGCGUCUCCCUUAGGACGCUCCUUAUGGGCAACUGUGUGACUAUCCUGCCUCCCUUAGGAAAUGGAUAAGACUUGAAUAUUUCCCGCAGUAAGCAUGGCGACCCCCUUUUAAGAAACUCCUGGCGUACCCUGCAUCUCCCUUAGGAUGCUUUUUAAGAGGGCUGCUUCUCCAAACGGACGCUUUUAGUCGUUGCCUAUGUCUCCCCUAGGAUGCUCCUUAUGGGCAACUGUGUGACUAUCCUGCCUCCCUUAGGAAACAGAUAGGAAACUAGAUAUCUCCCUUAGGAAAUUCCUAGCGCACCUUGCGUCUCCCGAAGGACGCUUUUUUAGCUGGCUACGUCCCGAAACGGACACUUUUAGUCGUCGCCCUGCGUCUCCCUUAGAAUGCGCCUUAUAGGCAACUGUGUGACUAUCCUGCCUCCCUUAGGAAACGGAUAGGAACCUGGAUAUCUCUCUUAGGAAAUUCCUGGGGCACCUUGCGUCUCCCGAAGGACGCUGCUUAUGGGAAAAUAUUGUGUUUCGUGGGCAGAUGAGACAUUUUGGAAUGAGAAACUGAACUUAUAUUGAUAUUCAUAAGAUUACAGUCCUUUAUUUGAAAAUGGAAAUAACUUGGUUCAAAAACUUAGAACUUCUAGCAGCUACGAGGAAGCACUAUGGAUAAUACUUUCGGAGAUGGUGAGCAUUCCAUUGUCGUGGUAUUUCCUUCCUAUCCAUGGUGUCCAGUGUGUUGCUUCCUCUGCCCCGGACCUGCUGAUCACAUAAACGCCCUCCCAGUUAGGAUUCACUUUUUUUGACCCGUGUCUUGGUGCAGUAAUGAAAGCCUUAGCACGAGGUCGCCUGGUUGAAACUGUUUGACCUUAGCUCUUUUGUCGUAGUAAGACUUCAACUGCUAGUGAUAGGAGGCGACCCGAAUAAUGGUCUUCUCACGCCUGCCCUCAAGUAAGUUGAGGUUGAGCCUCAUCUGCUCGGAGUUCUGAUCAACACUGCCUACCUUAAGACUUAUAGAGAGGACAGUGAUGUGAGGUGGUAUGAUCACUUCUGUUCCAUAGGCGAGAGAGAAUGGGGUUUCACCAGUCGAUCUUCGCUUGGUGGUGUGAUAAACCCAUGGUACUCUGGGGAGUUCAUCCACUCAUUUCCCUUCAGCGCCUUCCAGCCUUUUCUUUAAGCAGUCCAAUAUGACUUUGUUGGAUGCCUUGGCUUGUCCAUUUCCUUGUGGAUACCUCGGGGUGGACAAGUGUUGUUUGAUCUUGUAUUUCACAAAAAAAGCGGUGAUCUGCUUGCCAAUGAACUGUGAGCCAUUGUCGGUAACCAACGACUGUGGGCAGCCAAACCGGCAUAUGAUGUUUCUCCAGAUGAAUCACUCCACAUCGGCUUCUUUAGUAAAUGAUAGAGCUUCGGCCUCGAUUCAUUUAGUAAAGUAGUCGGUGGGGACGAUCAUCAUUUCUUUCUUGGCGGGCGCUAGUGGCAAGGGAUCCACUAGGUCGAUGGCCCAUUGCAUGAACAGCCAUGGACUGUUUUGCGGAUGAUAGACUUCGGCAGGCAAGUUAGGGAUCGGCUUGUAUUGCUGACAGCGUCACAUUUCUUGGCACAUUCAGCACAGUCGUGACGUAUGGUAGGCCAGAAGUAGCCUAUGUUUAGAACUUUCUGGGCGAGUGACCUGCCCCAGAAUGGUUGCCAUACUCGUCGUCGUGAAUUUUACAGAUAAUCUCAAGUGUUUGAUGGUACUUUAUGCAGGUGAGAUGAAGGCCGGAGUAUGAUCUGUGGAUGAGCUUGUUGCCGUGCAUGUAGUAUCUCUCGGCCUUUUGCUGGACUUUUCUAGCUUCGGACUUGUCCGUUGGCAGGUUUCCAUUCGUGAAAUAGUCGAUGAUGAGGUCUUGCUAGCUGGGGUCCUCGUCAAUCUGCAUGGUAUUAAUCGGCUCUAUUUCUUCAAUGCUUGGUCGGUCAAGGUGUUCGACCUAGAUGGAGUGUUUGAACUGGGUAUCCAGCGUUGAACCUUGGCUUGCCAGUGCGUCUGCAUGCGCGUUCUUUGCCCGGGACACUUGUUGGAUAGUGAAGGUAGGAAAUGCCUUCAACAGCUCUUGGACUCUAUCAAGGUAUAAGAUCAUCCUUGGGUGCUUUGCCAUAUAUUCACCUGAGGCUUGAUUCGUGAUCAACUGUGAGUUUGAGUAGAUGGCUAGCUUUUUGAUUGCGAGCUCCUUUGCCAAGCGUAAGUCGGCGAGUAAUGCCUCGUAUUCUACCUCGUUGUUCGAGACCGAGAAGCCAAGCGUAAUAGCUUGCUCUAACAGGGUUCUAUCCAGGGUGGUGAUAACGACCCCUGCUCCAGCUCCUUUUUGGUUCGACGCUCCGUCUACACGCAACUGCCACAUGUCUCUGGGAUGGCUUGGUUCUGCGGAGGUCCUGUCUGCUUUUGAACUUCCCUCCUUUUGGUUGACUAACUUCUCUUUUUUGGCUGAUGGGGUGAAUUCUGCGACGAAGUAUGCUAAAGCCUGGGCUUUUAUUGCAGUUUUUGGCCCGUAGAGGAGGUCAUAUUGGCUUAGCUCUAUAGCCCACUUCAUGAGUCGCUGAGAAGCAUCAGGGCUGUGGAGGAUUGAUCUCAAAAGAAAGUCAGUCAUGACUAUGACUCGAUGAGCUUAGUAGUAGGGUCGCAGCUUUCUCGCAGAAACUACAAGAGCCAAAAUAAGUUUCUCCAAUUUCGGGUAACGAGUCUCUGCAUCGAGGAGAGCUUUUGACGUGUAGAAUACCGGAUAUUGGGCCCCUAUCUCUUCUCGGAUGAGAGCUGAACUGACAGCUGAGUUGGACUUACCUCACUAGGGACUGGAUUUGAGAGCAUGGAAGGUGAGGUGAGGUAAGUCUUCAGAUUAUGGAAAGCUACUUUGCAGUCCUCAUCCCAUUUCUCUCUUUGUCCUUUCUUCAAAGCUUUGAAGAGUGGUCUGCACUUGUCGGUUGAUCUCGAGAGGAAUCGGUUGAGAACCGCUGCUUUGUCCGUCAGACUUUAUAUCUCUUUCACCGUGGAAGGCGACUUCAUCUCUAGAAUGGCUUUGAUUUGACGUGGAUGUGCCUCGACACCUCGUUGCGUGGCUAGGUAUCCCAAGAAUCGGCCGGAGGAUACACCAAACAGGCAUUUACUUGGAUUCAACUUCAUGCGAUACUGGCGGAGCAAGCUGAAUGAUUGGGUAAGACUUCCGAUGUGAUCUGCACGUUUUGGGGCUUUGACCAGCAUGUCAUCCACGUAGACCUUCAUAGUUUUGCCGAUCUGCUUAUUGAAGAUUUUAUUCCCGAGCCUUUGAUAGGUUGCUUUGGCGUUCUUCAGCCCAAAGGGCAUGACCUUAUAGCAGCAGGUCCCUCUCUCGAUGAUGAAAAAAGUUUUUGCCUUGUCAUCCUCGUGCAUCAGGAUUUGUUUAUAGCUGGACUAGGCGUCCAUGAAGCUAAGCAGUUGAUUGCCAGAAGUGGAAUCCACGAGUUGGUCGAUUCUCGGCAAUGAGAAGUUGUCUUUAGGGCAUGCUUUGUUGAGGUCUGUGUAAUCGACACAAACUCUCCAUUUGCCAUUUUCUUGUUUUGCCACCAAAACAACGUUGGCAAGCCACUCUGAGUAGGAGGCCUCUUCGAUGAAGCCGACAGCUAGGAGUUUGUCAAUCUCGGCCUCGAUGAUAGCAAGUCGCUGGGGUGCGAAGUUGCGUCUCUUCUGCGCCACUGGCUUGCAGGCAGGGUUGAAGUGGAGUCAGUGACAGAUGAUGUUCUUGUCGAUGCCAGACUUGUCUGACGGCAACCAUGCGAACAUGUCUCUGUUGCUCUGGAGGAAGGUGGUAAGCUCCACAUUCUCUUCUGGCCUUAGGCGCGAACCGAUCCACUCUUUCCUAUCUGGUUGGUCAGGAUCCAAGGGUAUUAACUCGACGUCCUCCUUGGGUUUCCAUCCUUCUUCAGGAAAGACCUAUGGACGGAUUUCCUCGACUUGGUCCUGACGCUUUAAUUGCUAUAAGAUAGCAAGAUCCAGUUGCUCAACCUCCUCCAGAUCUGCCUGGCUCACAGGGAGAAACUGCGCUUGUUUACCUUUCUUUAGCCCUUGGGCGGAGCAUUUCCUCGCCAUUGCCUAAUCGUUGUUGAUUUGGCCGACACCGCCCCCAAGGAUUGGGUACCGAAUUUUCUAAUGUGUGGCGGAGGUGAUUGCAUUAAUUUUGCCAAUCGAUGGUCUGCCCAGAAUGCCGUUGUAGGGUAAGACCUUAUUAAUGACCAUGAAGGUUAUGAGCUGAUUAUAAGUGGGGAGUAGACGUCGAGGUCUAUCAUGCCCACGGUAACCGUUGUUGCACCAUUAAAAUCGCUCAGCAACCUAGCUAAUUUGUAAAUCUUUGUCUCCAAUCCCAUCUGUUGAAUGACCUCCAGUUGCAGGAUAUUGGCUGCGCUGCCCUCGUCUGUGUGGAUUCAGUCUACCAUGACCUGAGCAAUUUGAAUGCUGAUGACAAGGGCUUCGUUAUGUGGCAUGUAGAGGCCGAUCAGAUCUUUCUUUUGGAAGCCGAUUACAGGAUCGUCUUCUGCUGGUGGAAGGUCGGUCGAGAUUUGGGAGAUCACAGUGGUCUGUUUGAUCUUCCUCUUUUUUUCCUUUCUGGUCAGCCCAGACUCCUCGGAGUCAGCUAGGAUUGUGUUAAUUCUUAUGACCUUCUGAGGCGGCUCCUUGGCGAUGUCACGAUCUUCUAUCCGCUGGAUGACCUUCUUUGCAAUGAAUUCUGUGCAGUGACCUUCUCUCACGAGUUCUUCAAGAUGUGCUUUCCAAGCGAAGCAGUUGUUCAUAGUGUGUCCGUGCAUUUCAUGGACGGCACAGUAUUUGCUAGUAUUCCUUUUGUCCGGAUCUUCUUUCAAGGGUGGUGGUCUUCUUACCCAAGGUUGUUCUUCACUUGGGCUAAGAUUUGAUGUAUGGAGAUGGUGAACUUGGUGUAGUUCUCUCCUGCCGUAGCAUCCCCUUAUGGGUGCGACCUGCGCUUGUCCUUGUCCCUGUUGCUAAAUCCGUCGCUUCUUUGGCCUGCCCCCUUAGUCGGCUGAUCUUCCUGCUUAGUAGAGUUCUUUGCGGCGAUUCGAUCGUCAUCCCAAAGCGCAUAGCUUUCCGCGGUCUCGUAGACCUCUGCCAAAGUUUGGCUGGGAGUGAUGGUCAGCUCGUGGUACAAGUCGUGCUCAGUCGAAAGGUCUUUCUUGAAAGCAGAGGACGCAAUUUGGUCAUCACAUCCUACAAUGUUGGCCUUUUCUACUUUGAAUCUCUUGAUGUAAUCUCUAAAGGAUUCGUCGAACUUCUUGCGCAGGUUAUACAGGUGGUCAGGGUUCUUCUUGAUUGUUCGGUAAGAGGUGUAUUCUUUGGUGAAUAAGUAAGUCAGCUCCUUGAAGCUGCUGAUCGACCUGGAUGGCAGAGUAUGGAACGAGUCUUGGGCUUCCUCACAAGGUCAUUGCAAACACCUUGCACAUCAGCGCGUCGUCAACCUUGUGGAGGAUCAUGACACUUUUGAAGUGUUUUAGAUGGCUCUCAGGAUCGGAAUCCCCCUUGAAGUGUGUGAAUGUGGGCGUUGAGAAUCGCUUCAGGAGAGCAGCCUGCUCGAUUUUGGCAGUGAAAGGUGUAGAGUAUGCCUGGUCUACCUCAUUUCGUACAUCUUCGAAAUUUCCACCGGUCUUCAAGUCUCGAAGUUGGUCAUUCACAAGCUUCUCUACGUCUUCCGCACACAUUGCUUGUCGGCCACAUUGGCGACCUUCACGAAUUGUUCGAUGCUGACUGACUUCCUCGUUGAUUUCCGAGGAUCGACCUUCUUGUCUGCAUUGCCUAGGUGGAGUGUUGGUGGAUUGCGCCUACGAAAGAUUCUCUGUGGCUUGUCAAUGAGAAUCGGUUCUUCGAGAGUGAGUAACGAAGUGCCUUUCCUCAUGGUCCUUAUUGUGAGGGUUAUCCAGCUGACCUCCCUGGGGCCUAGCCUUUCCUGAAUGCUUCUCUGCGAGUAGACAGUUGAAUGCUUUUCUUCACGAUCCUCGUUGUGAUGGUUGUUUGGCUGACCUCCUUAGGGUCUUAGCCUUUGAUGUACAUUUCCCUGCCUGCCCAAGUAGGUGCGGACGUCGAGUCGUGGGCCCAGCCUUUCGUGCACGUCGUUCCUUAAACUCAAUCUGCUCUGAGUGUGGCUUGCAGAUGCUUGCGACAUGUCGGCAGGUCGAUCACGUUGUUGUCCCUCGACUUGUCUGCCCACUCUUGCUUGACCUGCUUGGUACUCGUUGAGCUGUCUACCGGCCCGUUCAUCCUUCCUUCUUUCCUCGCCUGGUUGUCCAAGGCCAAGGUUUUGAGCAAAGCUUAUUUGGUUGAGGAGCUGCCUCAUUAGAUUGUUUUGGUCGUCCAUUCUUUAAGCUAGCUGGUCAACUCUCAGAUUAAGGUCUGCUUGAUUUCAUGGAUCAGGAGGAGAGAAGUGUGUGGAGCUCAACUGCACAUAGGCUAGGGUUUCAUUAGAGGUGUAUGCGGGAGCGUGUGUCGAGCGUGGAGGCAAUAGAGGGAAUGCUUGGAGUUGCUCCAAGACCGGCCCUAGGUCGGCGGUGGUAACGAGUCCACCUUGAUGGGAAGUUCCACCAUGUUUGGCGGCAGUGACCGAUGCAGUGGUGAGAGGUGGUGGUGCCACCAUGUCGAUCGCGGGAUCGUUGGUGGAGUGGCUUUGGGCCGUCGCAAAUCUAGCCAUCAUGGCGGCUUUGCCUCUCGUGUUCAUGCUUCCAACCAUGGUUGUUUGGAAGGCUUAGGUGGAUUGGAAAAUUAGAGGAACGGAUUCCUUGAGCACGCAUUGAGUAUAACUCGUGCUCUCAAUGAAAGCACCAAUUUGUGGGAGCAAAUUUCCCCACGAGAAUAUUCGGUUCGAAAGAUUCCCCUUUCUUAUUCGCCGCCUCUUUCUCCUCGCAAAAUAGAACAAAUAAGAGGACCACACCCGAGGGGUGUUGGCCAAAGGCCCUCCGAUGCCUAAAUUAGUUCAAGUAUUUGUAAGAAAAACACUAGCUAACUAGGGUAUGGAGAUGUGUUUAAGGUGUAAACCGGGCGGCCGGAACCUUAUGUAAAAGAGAGAGAGAAAUGAGGUGGCUAGGGUUUGAGAGGAAUUUUCUGCAGAGUUUUUAGUAGAGAUUUCAGACGUACCUCAACCAUUGUGUGUGGCCAUCUUUUUAUAGUGGUCUUGGAGGCUAGAGUUUCAGAGAAAUAAUUUCGUAGAUGGAAAGGAAUUAUUCCUCCCCUAUUUAGAAUUGAUUUGAUUAAUUACGGAUUUGAUUUAUUAGGGUAAAUCAAAUCCCUAAUUGUGGUAAGUAUCAAAUCAAAUCCUUUUUUAAUUAGGUAACUGCUCAUUUAAUUGACAAUUGUGGUAGGAAUCAAAUCAAUUCUCAACCUAAUUGGUAACGUUCAAUUUAAUUGGGUAAUUCCCAAUUAAAUUGAGUAACUCCCAAUUAGGUUGAUUAAUUCACACUUAGAUCAAAUAAUCCCCAAAUGGAAAGAAUUAUUUGACCUAAGGUAUGAUUUAAUUCGAUUCCCACAAUAUUUAGAUGCAUAAUUGAAUGCGAAUAAACAUCACUCUCUCCAGUGUGAAAUGGCGAAAAUUCUCUUCAAUCAAAAGUGGGCUUACUUCAAAUUUAGUUGAAGAAUGAUGGUGUGUCUUGCCUGACAAUUGACAAUUAGGUUUAGGAGCGUUCCUCUAGUAGAAAAAUCUAAAUCAUUUGUGGUCAUCCACUCACUUGGUUAGUCUUCCAGAAUCAAAUACCAAAUCAACCCAAAGGAAGCUGCAAUUUUCUGAAUUGUAUACUUGUUUUAAUUCUUCCUAUCUUUUUCUCUCUUUCAUUUUUUUUGUCUCCCUCAAGUUAAUACUUAAGUGAGUUGCCAAAUGGGGGUAAAAAAGAGAGUAGAAGAGAUGAACCCCACAUUUGACUUUAAUAGACAAAUGCCCAAGAGAAGUACCAGUAAGAGCAUCUCCAAUUGGGAGGUGCUAUCCUAUAAUUUGACACACAUUUCUUUUUUCUUUUUUUUCAAUUCUAACAACAUGUCAUCUAUAUCGCAAUAGGCCGUUGUAGUUAAAUUUUCAAAUAACCAAGUUGCUCUCUAUUUUCCAAAGAAGACUAGAAAACAACUUACCAUCUAUCUGGUGCUGCUUCUUCCAAACAUUAGAAAAAACAGAGCUACACCCAGGAGGAGCCCAGGAGAUGACACAAUACUGCCUACUAUGAUUCUUACUUUCUUCACAUUCAAUGAGACUAUAAAAUAUAACCCAAGUGGUCUAACCCCCCAGGGCGGAAAUUGGGUUUAGCAAGUUUAGCACUGAUUGUUGUAUAGUCUUAAACAGUCCUGAUCUCUUGGACCCCUGUAGUCCAAGAGAUUUAUGGUCACCCACCGUUGGAUGUAAAUUCAACGGUUGACUUGAAUCGGGUAAUAAUAAUUUAUGUCAUAUUGCAUUUAUAUAUAUCAUUUUGAACCAUUGGAUUAAUAUCCAACGGUGGGUGACCACAAUCUCUUGGACUCCUGUGGUCCAAGAGAUCGGGACUGUAGUCUUAAAAUAAGUAGUUUAGCGAGUGCAAACUUCGACUUAAAAAAACUCUCAUGUAUAGCCGCGCGGCUAUACUAUUUACAUAUAAAUAUAUAAAAAAGCACCCCCUAGUCACGUGUCACAAAUAGUAUAGUCGAAAACAGUAGAGCCGCGCGGCUAUACUGUUUUUAAAAUAAAAAAAACCAUAUUCGAUUCUCCUUAUAUUUAAAAGGGGUAUAGCCGCAUGGCGAUACUAAUUUUUUUUUUUCAAAAAAAGGGACCCCAGUACUCCUUUUAUAUAUUAUAAUAUAUUGUCUAAUAUUUGGAAUAUUUACUCUAAAAUAAACAAUAUAUUAGGUUCUUUUUGUCUACAAAUUGACCAUUAAACUUCUUAAUCACUCUUAUACUUUCAAUUAAAUCUACUAGGCUAGGUUAUGAUAUUUUCACUAAAAAACUCCUCCUUUUUUUCUUCUCUUUCUCUUCCUGUUUUGUUUAACUUAAGCUUAAGUUUUGUAAUUUUUUUUCCCGCCCUUUUUACAUGUUUGAGUAGGGUACUUUAAUAUUGGGAUUUAUGAACUUUUUUUGUAUUUCUUCUUUAUAUUGGAAUAUAAAUUAUUAACUUUUGAGUCUUUAAUAGUGUAGAUGAUGAGAUUAUUAUUCAACCAUUUUAUAAUAUGAAAUGAAGGACAAUCAUGAUUGUGAUGAAUGGAUUAUUAAUCAAUAUGAAAUGAUAUUAUGAAGUGGGCUAAAUCGAGUAGUUAGUAUCGUAUUGUUGAGACCCAAAAAAUCCAAGGCUAGGCCCAAAUAUAUUAUGAAGUGGGCUAAAUCGAGUAGUUAGUAUCGUAUUGUUGAGACCCAAAAAAUUCAAGGCUAGGCCCAAAUAUAUUUCCGGUCCAAUGCGAUACCUUACCGAGAAGAAACCUUAUUUGGGCACGCGAAAGUUCGUCAUAUGCUCUUGCACACAUGCCAUGCCAAGCAAAUAAGCAACAUGCCACGCUACAAGCUUAAGUGGGCCCAAGCCACGUGAAUGCCUAGGGCCUGCUGAGUGGGUUGUGGUAUGGAUGGUUAUGAGUAUUCACGAGGCCCAUUGAUGGUCUAAGGAGUGGAAGUUUUGGGCUACUUGGGAGCACCAAAACUCAAGCCCAUUCAUUGAGCCCAAACAUAUGGGUAAGCAUGAGAUAAAACCUAGUAGCCCAUCACCUUAAGAAAUCCUAAUAGCCCAUAACAUGUGAGAAAAUCCCACAUCAACCAAAGCUUCCAGCAGUCUGACGAAAUCAAAGGGAACUCACAAGCCGUUGGAAACAAAACAACCCAACACUGUAACACCCCGACCCCAAAUUUCCCCAAAUUUAACCCUUAUUUAAUUAUUUAAGGGUAUUUUAGUCAUAUUUUUAACCGGAGAGAGUUUGGGGCAAUGACUAGUAUUUUUGGAUAGGUCGUACUGAGACGAGUUUAUGGACACGCAGUGAGCUCGAAUCGGAGUUGUAACGAGAGAGAUAUGGUCAAAAGAAGCCCAGUGGCACAAUCGUAAAUAUUUUGAAAUGAGAUUUUUUAUAAAAAUCUGGUUUUCUCUCUCUCUCUCUCUCUCUCUCUCUCUCUCUCUCUCUCUCUCUCUCUCUCGCUAGCGACCUCUCUCUCUCUCCCCCGUCGGUCUCUCCCCUCUUUCUCCUCGUAACUCCGGCCACCGGCCCCGGCUGUGGACGGGGCCGGUACCAAAAUGACCGAGGCGUCGUCCUCUUCCUACCCCAGCCACCUCCCACCGCCAGCCGUCGCGGAUUCGCCGGAAUCUGGAGAUGAAGCGGCCUACGUCGUCCAAAUUUCAAAGCUGCCGAUCUCCCUCCUCCGGCCACCAAUUCCGUCGACCCAGGUAUGGAUUUUGAACUUCUCGAGCUGCUCUAGCUGAUGGUUGGGUAGGAUUAGAUCGAUUCUUAGCUUAGACAACUCGAUUUUCAAAUUGAAAAUCGGCCGAACUUCGGCUGCCGUGAUCGGCCAUUUCCGGCCACUUUUUGGGGUAGGUCCAAGAACAAAAGUGGCUCCAAAUAGGGUGUUAUACCUAGGGUAGGAGUUUGGAGCCGUGGUUUUGAGAUUUUCCGGCGAAGCGUUAUCGCUUUGGGCACCCACGCGCUGCCGGUGCGUGCGGCGGCGCGUGGGCACUGUAGAAAAAGUAGCACUGUGUUCCGAUGAGAUCCUUAGGUUGUCACGAGUGCGUAGGAUUUUGCGGAUCUCAAUUCGGACGUCGUUUGACUAUCGAACGGAUAUUCGCAUAUUGCGCGUUAUUCGGGUUCGAUAGGUUGGGACCGUUGGAUGGACCCAAAUUUAAUAUAUGUUAAUCUAAUUAAUUCUAGGAUCGUGUAGGAAUUCACGGAUUGUGAAUCGGAGCCCCGGAUGUUCCGAAUAAUAAUUUUAAAGUUUGUAUUUUAUAUUAAUUGUCAGAUCGUGCGAUCGUGAGCAAUCUGACCGUUCGAUCUGAACCAAACUUGCAGGACAAGUGUCCUAUACCUUGUAGAACCCAUAGGGACCUUCGGAUCGGAAAUUGGAGGUCGUGGGUUCCGCAAGUCGGUUUGACCAGGGUUAGAGAAGUUUGACCCUUGGUUGACCGUGAGUCUCCCGGAGUAAUCUCACCUUUCUAGGGGAGAUUAUCGGGUACUAGAUGAUUGUGGACACAAUAUUAGAAUUAAUUUAUAUAAUUAUAAUUAUAUAUGGUUGUACAAGGGUACAACAGAGUCUAGAAUGUCAGUUUGGAGUGCUAUACGCACUACUUUAGGUACCUCCCCGGAUGUUGGGAUUUACUACAAGUACCACCAAGUGAAAUUGAGGUCCCGCGUGGCGUAGGUUAUCCAGCGUUGGGAUAGGUCUCAUACGUGGGGUUGGUUGUACCGGCGUAUGGGGAGAUUUGUGAUAUUAUGUUCAGGUCUCACGUGGCGUAGGUUAUCCGGCGUUGAGACAGGCCCCAUACGUGGUGUUGGUUGUACCAGCGUAUGGGGAGCUAUGUGAUAUUGUGUUGAGGUCGCACGUGGCGUAGGUUAUCGGGCGUGUCGACAGACCCCAUACGUGGCGUUGGUUGUACCGGCGUAUGGGGAGAUUUGUGAUAUGAAAUUGAGGUCCCACGUGGCGUAGGUUAUCCGGCGUUGGGACAGGCCCCAUACGUGGCGUUGGUUGUACCGGCGUAUGGGGAAAUAUGUGAUAUGAUGGCAUGGUCGCACGUGGCAUAGGUUAUUCGGCUUGUUGACAGGCCCCAUACGUGGCGUUGGUUGUACCGGCGUAUGGGGAGAUUAUUUGAAAUGCAGAGAAACGAAAUAUGGUAUCGCCCAAAUGUGGAAUUGGGUUUUAGGGAAGAACUACGUGUGGCUUGAUCCCUCAAGGAGGGUACGUAGGCAGCCUAAGGUUAAUAGGUGCAGCCGCAGACUAAAUGUUAGUCAUAAUUGAUAUUUGAAUUGUUUGGUAGUUGGUUAAGAAUUAUUGGAAGGCCGAAGGCCAUUUGUGUGAAUUGCAUGAAAUUAUAUUGUGCAUGCUGCCAGUUGGGAAUAUUAAAUGCGUUUUUAUGCAGGUAUAAAUUUUAGGAAAUGUCCAAUUUAUAGGGGAGACUCUGCCGAAUUUUCGGCAGGAAGUCUCAGUUUUUAGUAUCUGGGCCUGGCAUCGGGAGGAUGUCGGGAAUUCCAAAGGGUCGUCUCGAGUUCUGAAAAAUUCGGUGCGGGUCCUUUCAAACACCUUAUAAAAUAUCCAACGCCGUGCAUCUCUGUUAAAACCAGAUCACAGCCAAACCACCAAAACCAUGCAAACCCAUAUGCUGAUCACCAUUUUUACUAGCACCCUUACCCAUUCUUUCCUCUUCAAGCUUUGGUGAGAAAACAAGAAACAAAAGUGGGCGGAUCUUCACCCACAUGGAGAAAUCCAGCUGCCUGAGGGCCCUGGAACUCCAAAAAACUUCUUACCUACAUGCUCAGGCUAGGGAAGUUUCACCAAAUAAGCAAGAAUGGAAGAAAGUGAAGGAAAAGGGGAAAGGGUGGCUUGACGAAAUUAAGGUUUUCAGCACUUAUAAAAGGAAACACUUUCUAUCCAGCAAAAACAACUCACCCUGGUUGCUGCAAGCCUCCUAGCAACCAUGAGAAUUCAUUGAAGGCAAGCAUCCCCUUUGGAACCCUUCAAUUUCAUGCUUUGUUCUUCCAUCUUCCUCCUUUCUCUCUCUCUCAAAACCCACAUCCAGAGAGAGCAAGCAUCAUCUCUCAUCUUUGGAACCCUUCGAUUUGAAGCCUUGUUCUUCCAUUGCUUCCCAUUUUCUCUUCUGUCAAAUCACCUAGGAGCUUGACGAAACUUUCGUCAAGCUGCUGGAAAUAUGGUAAAGCCACCCAUGCUUCCAUCUUCUUCCUCUCUUUCCAUAAACACACAUCCAAAGAGCAAGCUUCAUCUCUCAUCCUCUAAACCUCUGCAAUUUCAAGCCUCAUUCCUCUAUCUUCUCCCAUUUUCAGCGGUAGUGAGAAUGAUUUCUGCGUGUGCAUGGGAAGGAUUGUAACUCAGAUGAGGAGGAGAUGGUUUGGAGUGGGGUGAGGCAGUUGGAUAGAGCUCUUGGCCUUUUCAAGUUUGGAUGGGAAAGAGCAGGGAUGAAAGAAGCUUUACAACUGCAAGGGCAUAUAUGGUGCGUAGGGGCUGAAGGCAGAACACUUACAUAUAGAGGAAACACAUUUUUUGUCCAUGGGAUUCAUGUUUGACAAACACUUGUCUUAGACUAUGAGUUCAAAUUUCAAAACCUUUUUUUUUUCUUUCUGAAAUCAGGACCAGUGUGGAGAACUAGCAAGGAUUGGAGAAACAGAUUUUUGGGCGUCACUUGACCACAGAUUGUUGAUUGCUCAAAUGUGUAGAAUUGGCCAUCUUAAAUGUCAAAAUGAUUUAUCAAUUGGGGUUUUUUUAGAAACGUUUAUGUUUGUCAAUAGAGACAGAAGUCAGAGAACAUAAACCUUUCUCAGCAAAUUGAAAUUCUCAGUGCAUGCUCUGUUCUUCCAUGGCUUUCAAACCUUCUCUGCCACGGUGAAAUGGAUCGAUAGAGAUAGUUUAGGCCGUUCCAUUUGUUUGAUGAAGCAUUCGUUCUAGGGAUUCUGUAUAUUCAUAACAAAAUCACUAGAAUGAUUCUUAGAAAUUCAUCACUGCUAAAGGCAAUGGGUUCAGCAUAAUAACUUCUUAGUCUUGCUUCUUGGUCCUUUAUUUUCUUUGCAUAAUACUCCAAGUUUACCUGGGUUCUACAGAGAAAAUCUCGUAGAUACCUCUUUUUGUGGUCUUCCAUGGCAUUUAAGUGCUGCUUUCCAUGGUGAAGUGGGCCUAUAGAGACUACCUGAGGUGUGUAGGCUUUGUCAUUUCCACGCCGUAAUCGCUCAGGAACUCUGUAGAUACACCUUCAAGGGGGACAAGGGAGACAAACUAUCCAAUUCCUUGCGCCUUACAAAUAGAUCGCAUGGGUUUUCUAUUUCAUCUGCAGCUUCAUCAAUUCCUUCCAUUUUUCUCCUGAUCAUCAUGCGCGGUGAUUCAAAUAUUUCAUAAUGAACAUUGAAAUGAGAUGCUACAAGCAAACUUAUGAAAAGAAACAGAAAUACCAAAAAGACAAAUCAAUGUAGAUGGUUUAGAAAAUCUAAACAUUGCAAUUAUACUCCUUUGCCCAACUUCUAGGAGCAAACGUACACAAAGACCUUAUUGCUUCCAACUUUUCCAACAGAAUUUCAUAUGAAUUGCUCCAAGUGAAAUCCGUAUGAAAAAUCGGUAGUUGGAUUUUCAUCCUGCUUUAAUAUGAUUAUUUAACUUCUAACAAAAAAACUCUUAUUACUUGAGCAAGUAAAAUACUAUUCCAGGUUUCUCCUAGUUCUAUAUGCGCUUAUAAUUGGUAUACUCUAUAAAUACCAUAAUCUGAAUUUCUCUGUUUUGAUUACUUUAAUUUAUUACUUAUGUUUUAAUUAUUGUUUACUUAGUGAAUUAUUAGUAUUUAAGAGAAGGCCUUCCAUCGAUUAGGCACCACGUGUCUAUAAUAAGUAAAGCCGUCCGGCUAUACUUAAAAAAAAAAAAAAUUGUAGUAUAGCCGACCGGUAUAGCCGCGCGGCUAUACUAUUUAAUACAUUAUAUUUAAACGGUAUAGCCGCGCGGCUAUACUAUUUAAUAAAAUAAAAAACAAAAGAAAAAGAAAAAUUACCCUCCUAUUUCAUUAGUUUGUACUUUAUAGAUACUAGCCCCUUGACACAUGCUCACGCAUGUGCCAAUUGGUUUUCUUUUUCUUUUUUAUUUUUAUUUUUAGAAUUAAGAAAAAAUAACAGGAUAGUUAUGUUCCAUAAAAGUAGGACCUAUUAUCUUAUUUUGUUUUUAAUUUUAAUUUUUUUAAUAUUAAAAAAAUAUGAAUUUACGAUAUUAUCCUCAUUUAAUUAAUAAUUUCAAUUCUUAAUGUUUGAAUUAACAAAGGGCAUUUUCUGGUAUUUUGAAUGUUUCACCAUUCUCUGCCUUUUGCUUUAUAUAUAUAGAUUAAUUUGCCAGUUUCAAGAUAUCCAAAGUACAUAUUAGACUUUCACUAUAUAAAUUUCAAUAUAUAUUUUUUAUAACAUGUGUUGUUCUUAUUCAAUAAUAUGUGAGAAUUAUUUGUAUAAUACGUGAAUUUUGUGUGUCUUACUGAAUUUUUUUAAAUACGUGUAUUAAACGUUACAAAUACGUACAUAUAUGUACAACACGACUAUUGUAAGUUUGCUAUAUAAAAAAAAGUGAGAUGUAUCUAGAACACGAAUGUAUUAUCGAAAAAUAUAUAUGUAUGUAUAUAUAUAUAUAUAUAUGUAAAAGCCUAUAGCCUCUCACCUAUACUAUUUAUUAAAGACAAUUUAAAAAUUACAACAACAAAAAAACCAGUACAGCCACAAAGCUAUACUAUUUUAAAAAAAAAAAAUAGAAAAAAUAUCAAGUACUACACAGGGCAAAGGCCCAGUGUAAAAUAGUAUAGCCGUACGGCUAUACGUUUUUAAGAAGAAUUUAAAAAACUAAGUAUAGCUCACCGACUAUACUAUUUUUUAAUAUAAAAAAACAACCCCAUCCAUUAGGCGCCACGUGUCAACAGAAGUUUAUUUUUAAAAAAAAAAAUUAAAAGACAAGGAGUAUAGCCGGGUGGUUGUACUAUUUUUUUAUUUUAAAAAGAAGACAGUCCAUCGAUUAGGCGCCACGUGUCCAUAAUAAGUACAGCCGCUCGGCUAUAUGUUGGAUAUUUUGAAACUAGCAAAUUAAUAUCAAUAGCCGGUCGUAACCUAUGCUGUCCACGUCACUCAUGUUUUACCAGAGUUAAAGCAUCCACAAUGAGCUCCCCAAACCAUCUCUUUAGACAAAUUUUAGGGAGAAAUUGGAAAAGUACAACUCCAACCAUGCUCCCUAUCCACCAACUAAAAUAGGGAGACCUCUAGGAGCUCCUAAAUCUGAGGAGAGGGAAAGGACUCUUAGUGACUCCCUAUAAUUUAAUGUUGCUUUGUUUUAUGCAUAUUUUAAACUUUUAAUUAAAUCAAAUUAUUAUUUUAUAUUAUUUUGUAUACAGAUGGACCAAUUAUAUUAAAUUAAAAAAUAAUUAAAGUAUUUGUGACUCUCUAAACUAAGGAGUAUGAUUAGAGUUCAAAUUUUAUAAAAAGCUCUUAAAAUAGCUUUUGUGUGUUUUUAGCUAAAUUUUAACUAAAAAAUUUGAAGAUUCUUUAUUUGGGUUUCUUUCAAGACGAAAACCAUAUCCACAACAGACAUCUUUGGCUGUUCAUCACAAUUGAGAGACAAUGAAGAAGACAUAAGGGAGAGGCUGCCAAAUACUUAUCACCUUAGCCACCACCAACACCACAAGACCAAUAUGUGUAGGCCAGGAGGCUUUCCAAUUUUAAUAUAUAUAUAUAUAUAUAUUAAAAAAUAAAAUAAAAAUCAAUCUAUUAUCAUAUAUAUUAUAAAAUAAAGAUUAUUGCUCCAUCCUCCAUGCACUUGCGUGCCCUCUUACAAAGUAUGAAGUAGAUUUUGUUAGCUGGAUUUAUAAGAUCUUUUGUUUUUUGGAAAUUUUCUGAAAUAAGGAAAAUCAAGUAAAAUUAAUAAAGCAUAAAUUGGAAAGGGAAAAUAUCUAGAGGAUGCAUUGUAGGAUUGCUCAAGCCAAUAAUUGUACCCUCUAAAUAUAUAGGGACAUAUUUUUUUUGUUUUCAUGACAUGUCGUCCUAAAAUUAUUGUUCUUAGCGGGCUCUCCACCCCCUCUCGAUUGAAAACCUAUUGUGUAAAUCUUCAAUCCUGAAUUAGAAAAGUACAACUCCAACCAUGCUCCCUAUCCAUCUCCUAAAAUAGGGAUACCUCUAGGAGCUCCUAAAUCUGAGGCGAGAGAAAGGACUCUUAGUGUCUCUUUAUAAUUUAAUGUUGCUUUGUUUUAUGCAUAUUUAAACUUUUAAUUAAAUCAAAUUAUUUUUUUAUAUUAUUUUGUAUACAAAUGGACCAAUUAUAUUGAAUUAAAAAUAAAUUAAAGUAUUUAUGACUCUCUAAACUAGGGAGUAUGAUUGGAGUUCAAAUUUUAUAAAGAGCUCCUAAAAUAGCUUGUGUGUGUAGGGGUCUUUUUCUUCUGGCAACUACAGAUGGGUUGGGCUACCGUAAGGAGCAAACUGAAGAAAAUAUCCCCUGUGUCUGAGUUCAAAGAUUCGGCCCCAAAAUAUUUCGAAAAGGCAGUAAAGCCUUAGGAAACACCUUAGUUACCUUCACCAACGAAAAUGACGGCUGCUUACAGGUAGAUUCUUAGUGCUUACAGAUGAAUUCUUAGCUUAGCAUGAGGAGAUCGUGGCAUGGAAGCAAAGUUAGCAUGAGUUUAGCACUAAAGAGAAAAUUAUGUGUUCUUGGGAGGAAGAAGGGGUGUCCAGGUAAAUGGGAAAAGGUUUUGCAAGUAGAUUUGGCUAAGAGAGAAGGGAGAGAGAGAAGAGGGUGGCUAGAGUGCUUCUUCCGGCAGCUUGACAGUGACUCUGUCAAAUGUUAGAGCAAUCUGCCAUAAGAGGGAAAAUGGGGAAGAAGGAUGAACAGUGCACAAAAUUGCUAGGUUUUUGCAAGUAAGAGAGGAAGCUUGCUCUCUGGAUGUGGAUGAUCCGUUGGGUAGAAGAGGCCCCAUUUUAUAGCCGCUGGAAACUAUCAUUUCUCAAGAAACCCUAAUAGUUUCUACCCAAUUUGGUCAAGCUUUUCCCUUCCUUUCUCAUCUCCUCCCUUGACUUUUCCUAUCUUGGUGAAAUUUCCUCUGUCUAUUUGCACAAAAUCAGGAGCUCAAGGCCUCCCUUUCCCGCAACUGUUCAAUGGGAGACUCCAUUCUUAGCUAUUUUUCUUCUUCUUUCCUUCCUCCUUCCCUGACCAAAUCUGAUGAAGGAAAGCAAAUAGGUGCACACAUUGGUUUGAAGGGUGCUUCUCCUUCUAGCAGCUUACAUGCCAAUAUCCCUUGGGUCCUUGCAUGUUUUUUGCUUUGAAACUUGUUUCUUCCUUCCCGUCAACUCACGUGGUCUUCCAUGCUUCUUCAUGGCUUUAUCUUUCAGCCAAAAGAUGGAGUUUUUACUGCUUGCUACUUUUAAUUGUAUGGGUCUUCUAGGAUAGGAAGUCAACCUACCAAACAAAUGGGCCACCUUUAUCAAAUAUUGGGCUGUUGGGGUUAGUUUUAGUGGGCCAUUUUGACUGGGCUUUUUGGUUGGGUUAUUUAAGUUAUUUUCCCUUUUGUGCUCACCCAUGUAUUUAGGCCUAAGAAAUGGGCUUGGGCUCCGAGUCUCCCAAGCAACCCGGAACCUCCAUUUCUUGGCCCAUUAAUGGGCCUCAUGACAACCUAUUACCAUCCAUACCACAACCCACUCAAGCAAGCCCCGGGCAUUUGAAUGGCUUUGGCCCACUUUAGGCUUGUAGUGUGAUUGGGUGUGGCAUAACGAUUUCUCGCUUGGCAUGGCAUGUUGCUUGGCAUGUUUUUUCAUUACGAUGCUUGAUGGAUUUGUAGAGCUACCUAUUUUUAUGAUCUUAAUCUUGAUUCCUAGCAUGACAAAUUUAUUUAUUUGGCAUGGCAUGCGGAGCGUGACUUGUGCGUGGCGAGUUUUGUAUGCUCCAACUUGGGCCUUUCCUAAAUAAUGUAUCAUUUUGGGUUAUGAAUUCUUUCGGGCCCAACCGUGAAUUUUUUGGGUUUCAACAGUGUGUUUUUAGCUAAAUUUUAACUAAAAAAUAGGGAGCAUGAUUGUAGAUCAUCUUAUAUACCUUAAUUUGAAGAUUCUUUAUUUGGGUUUCUUUCAAGAUGAAAACCAUAUCCACAACUGGCAGACAUCUUUGGCUGUUCAUCACAAUUGAGAGACAAUGAAGAAGACAUAAGGGAGAGGCCGCCAAAUACUUAUCACCUCAGCCACCACCAACACCACAAGACCAAUAUGUGUAGGCCAGGGGGCUUUCCAAUUUUAAUAUAUAUAUAUGGAGUGAAAAAAAUAAAAUAAAGAUUAUUGCUCAUCCUCCAUGCACUUGCAUGCCCUCUUACAAAGUGUGAAGAAGAUUUUGUGUGCUUCAAGUCAUUGACUAGAGCUGAAACAUGGUUAGCUGGAUUUAUAAGAUCUUUUGUUUUCUGGGAAUUUUCAGAACCAAGGAAAAUCAAGUAAAAUUAAUAAAGCAAAAUGGAAAGGGAAAAGAUCUAGAGGAUGCAUUGUAGGAUUGCUCAUGCCAAUAAUUGUACCCUCUAAAUAUAUAGGGACAUAUUUUUUUUGUUUUCAUGACAUGUUGUCCUAAAAUAUUUGUUCCUAGCGGGCUCUCCACCCCCUCUCGAUUGAAAACCUAUUGUGUAAAUCUUCAAUCCUGAACGAUGCUCCUAAAACUCAAGUGUCCCAGGCCAAUUAUUGCUCUCAUACCACUUGUUGCAAUACACAUCCACUCAUUCUCAGGGAAAGAAACCCAUCGAUAUUAUCUCAAAUUUAACCACUUUAGUCUAUUAUGAUUAACUAUGUAUUUUAUGGAUCAAUGCAGUUGUGAGGUUUUAUACCCAAUUAGAUCGACCAAUACAGAGAUCACAUGUGGACUGAAAAGCGCCAUCGGUAGGGGAGUGUUUGGCACCCUUUACUGCCGAGUGCAACACAAGACCCCUUACCAGGAACUUAUCUACUAGGACACGUGAAGCCACCACAAGUAAUAUCAACAGUCCCACAUCGAAGUUUAACAUAACAUGUACACUCCCCAGGACUGAUAAAAGUGGGCACAAGUCCCAAAAAUGGGGGAACUUGGACUUUCAGCAAUUCAUCCAUUAUUAUGUCCAAAUUACUAUACACUCCGUACUUAUUCUUACUUAAGCAUUGGAGAGCCUUCGGCCGGUACCACACCAGUGCCUAAGGGCUUACCGAGCGUUCUCUAUCUUGCAUAUUGAUCGCUCUACUGAAGCCCAUAAAGAGUUAAAGGUCAAGACAUCACUAAGUUGAGCCCAAAAGUGCUGAACCACAUCAAAAAUAUGUAUAGAUUGAAAAAAUAAAAUAAAAAUCAAUCUAUUAUCAUAUAUAUUAUAAAAUAAAUAUUGGAUAAAUUACUCAAAUGGUCCUCAAACUUAUACUCGAUUUACAUUUUGGUCUCUCAAUUAAAUUAUUUGUUCAAAUGGUCCAUCAACUCUAUAUUAUUUCUGCAAAAUCUACAAAGUGGUGGGAGGCAGACCAACAAAAAAAAUUAGCGAAGGCUUAUAACUCUGGUAAAACAAGAGUUACUUGGAUAGAAUAAUGUUACGUCGUACUGAAGAUUUUUGGGUUUCUUUAAUUGGUUAAGUGAAGAUUCUUUAUUUGGGUUUCUUUCAAGAUGAAAGCCAUAUCCACAACCACAACCACAACUGGCAGACAAUCUUUGGCUGUUCAUCACAAUUGGGCGACAAUGAAGAAGACAGAAAUUGGAGUACUGUAUGUUAUCACCCACACCACAAGACCAAUAUAAGGAGGAUGGGGAGGCUGCGGAAUACUUAUCACCUUAGCCACCACCUACACCACAAGACCAAUAUGUUGUAGGCCAGGAGGCUUUCCAAUUUUAAAUUAGAUAAAUCGGAAACUGUUUCGAUAUCCAAUUGUAUUCUAUAAAAUCAAUGAACACGGUGCUUCAAGAAAGUAAUAAAAUUUCAAUAAUUCAAUUGAGUGGUCAAAUUCAAGUGAUUUUUUGUAGUGAUGAUCUUUGAAUGAGUAUCUAUAAAAGAGACGGUUUGGAUUAGUGAAAUACAAUAUGGAGUGGGCCCUACCAGCAAUCCACGACAAAAUGUCUGCAAGCUUUCGUAAUAUAAGGAGGAUGGGGAGGCUGCGCAAUACUUAUCACCUUAGCCACCACCUACACCACAAGACCAAUAUGUUGUAGGCCAGGAGGCUUUCCAAUUUUAAUAUAUAUAUAUAUAUAUAUAUAUAUAUAUAUAUAGGGAUGUGAUUUCUCUACUCCCCUUUUCUCUACUUAUACUCCCUUUUGCUUUUAAAUACUUUUUAAUCAAUUUUUUUUCCGCUUUCCUAUUAAUAUUCUACCAUUUCCCUACAUUAAUUUCUUUUUACUUCACUUUUAUAUUAGUUCUUUUUCUUUAUACUUAAUUUUUCAACUUGCACUCCAUUUUCAUUAUUUUUUUCCUAAUCGAGUAAGAAAUUAAGUUUUUUUUCCCCAUUUAAUACUGAAAAUGGAGUGUAAGUUAGAAAAUUAGGUAUAAAGAAAAAGAAAUAAUAUAAAAGUAAAGUAAAAAAGAAAUUAAUGUAGGGUAAAGGUAGAAUAGAAAAGAGAAUGAACAAAAUUGAUAAAUAAAUAAAAAAGGUUUAAAAAGCAAAAAGGAGUGUAAAUGGAGAAAAGGGGAAUGAGGAAAUCAGCUCCAUAUAUAUAUAGAUUGAAAAAAUUAAAAUUAAAAUCAAUCUAUUAUCAUAUAUAUUAUAAAAUAAAGAUUAUUGCUCCAAGGAAAUGACAUCUUUUGUUUUCUGGGAAUUUUCUGAACCAAGGAAAAUCAAAUAAAAUUAAUAAAGCAUAAAUUGGAAAGGGAAAAGAUCUAAAGGAUGCAUUGUAGGAUUGCUGAUGCCAAUAAUUGUACCCUCAAAUUAUACAUGGACAUAGGGGUGGGCAUUCAAAUAGGCAAACUAGAAAUCCGAGCUGAACCGCACCUAGGAAAACCGGAAAAAAAACCGAGUUGACCAAAAAGUCAACAACUGGUCAAAAAUCGAACCGGACCGAUUUGGACUGGUUUUGGAUUCAGUUUAUAUGCAAUGCUACAUUUUUAGUCUCAUAACUAAUAUUUAUCCAAGUUCAAUUUCAAAACAUCUUUCUUUUUUAGCUUUAAUAUUUAUUUUUAUAUGAAAUUAAAUAAUUUAUUAAUUUUCAAGUAAAUAAAAUAAAAUUUCAGUUGAAAUUUAUAUUAAAAAAAUAAUUUUAAUAAUCCAGUUCAAAACCAAACCGGACCAUCCAGCUGUGAGGUACAUUUCUCCCACAUGCCACAAUUGUAUAUUCACAAUUACGUCUGAUACAUCACAUCAUGCCACUUGCCUCAAAUGAAUUUAAGUGAGUGUGGCAGUGGAAAGUAAUUAAGCUCUAUAUUGGUGGGUGGACUGUUACUUCUGGGUUCCCCUCAUCAUUCGUCUAUAAAAUGGUGAAGGCAGUUGCUAUUGUUACCAUAAGAGCCAGCUCCGACUUCCUUUAAUUUCUUGCUUCAUAUCCACUAGCUACAUCUGUUACCAAGUUAAUUUCAGUCCUAAUGGGGUUUCAUCUCCCACUCAUCUUUGCUCUUCUCAGUGUAAGCUCUGCAAUUUGAUUAACUUUUCCAUUCUCUCUCAUUGUACUCUAUAUAAACGAAAGUUUUGUGUUCCUAUAAUUCUCUCCGAUUUUAUUUAGUACGUACUUAAGUGUCGUCCACUAAUUAAUUACACUUUGUGAUUUGAUUUUAAUUUGAGUUCGAAUUAAUGUUGCAGCUAGCAGCAGUGGCACUGGCAAACCAUGCUGCUCAACCAGCACCUCAACUUUACUGGAACUCCGUCCUGCCAAACACACAGAUGCCAAGAUCUAUCAGUGAACUUCUGCAUCCUGGUUUGUGUUGAGCUCUUUAGAAUCUUAGAUAUCUCUUCUACCUGCCAUUUUACUAAAAUAUGUUCCACCACAUAUUUAUCAGUUAACCACUGUUAUUACAUGAGUGACACAUAUUCACAAAUCGGCUGAUCACUUAUUUUCCAUUAUGACGUUGAUAUAUAAUUUGCAGACUCCACAAAUGAAGAAAAGAGCACAAAUGACGUUGGCAAACCUGAAACUUUCCCAUUGGGCAAUAAACAUUACUCCAGUCAAAAACAUUAUGGAAGAGGCAAACCUGAAACUUUCCCAUUGGGCAAUAAACAUUACUCCAGUCAAAGACAUUAUGGAAGAGGCAAACCUGAAACUUUCCCAUUGGGCAAUAAACAUUACUCCAGUCAAAGACAUUAUGGAAGAGGCAAACCUGAAACUUUCCCAUUGGGCAAUAAACAUUACUCCAGUCAAAAACAUUAUGGAAGAGGCAAACCUGAAACUUUCCCAUUGGGCAAUCAGCAUUACUCCAGUCAAAAAAAGUAUGGAAGAGGUGCUUCUCCAUCCGACAAUCAACCACCAAUUCCAUAGAAAUUCAAACACGGCUACUUUCUUGCCACGAGAAAGCGCUCAAUCGAUCCCCUUCUCCUCUAACAAACUACCAGAAAUUUUCAACCAUUUUUCAGUGAAGCCAACAUCUGAGGAAGCCAAAACAAUUAAGCAAACAAUCGAAGAGUGUGAAGCUCCAGACCUUAAGGGAGAGGAAAUAUAUUGCGCCACAUCUUUAGAAUCAAUGGUUGAUUUUAGCACUUCGAAGCUUGGAACAAGAAACGUUGAAGCAAUCUCGACGGAGGUAUUGGAAAAAGGAGCCACCAUGUCCAUCCAAAACUAUACAACAAUGCCGGGACUGAAGAAGUUGGCAGGUGACAAAGUCGUUGUGUGUCAUAAGCAGAACUAUCCCUAUGCUGUGUUUUUCUGCCAUGCAAUAAAACAUACAGCAGCUUAUGCUCUCUCCCUGAAAGGCGAUGAUGGGGAGAAGGUUAAAGCAGUAACCAUCUGCCAUCUAGACACAUCAGAAUGGGACCCAGAGCAUAUGUCCUUCAAAAUCGUCAACGUUAAGCCCGGAACCAUUCCCAUCUGCCAUUUCAUUUCCACUGAUGCUAUUGCCUGGGUUCCGAACCACAAAUCUGCAUGAUCAUCACUUAGCACUAGUACUGUGCGUAUAAUAUGCCUGUAUAAUUAUCUCCCUACUUAUUUCUGCCUGUUCAUCAUGUGGUGUAAGAUAUAUGUUGAGAUGAAGUUUUUGGGAUUAGUGGUCGAAAUUAACCCGAUCAUGUUUUCUCUUGUAACUAUAUAGACUUCAACUUGUACUCAUAAUAAAGCAUGCUAUAUUUAUGAAGAGAUAUUAAUCUUCAGGCAAAUAGAUAUUAUGAAAACAUAUAUAGCAAUUUAUCCAGAAGAAAUAUUAUGAAAUGAAAAGAAUAAAAAGUAAAAAAACAGAAGGAAAGGAAUUCGCACCUGCUAUGUAUGAAAGGACCAAGAUUGUUUUCCCUUUGGUUAAUGACUAGAAAAGCUCACUUGCAGAUUGCUUUCUCUGACCGUAGAUGCAACAGAAAUUUUCUCUUAAUAAUAGCACAAUGAUCGGGUAAUUGUAAGAACAAGUUGAUUUAAAAUUCCUUGACCCAAAAAAAAAAAAAAAAUCAUUUCAAAUUCAGGUCAACCCAUAGAUUUCUUGCCUUUUUCUUCUUCAUCACGUUGGGCUUGUCUUCUUCUUGAGGAUUGUAUAGGCCCAGGAAAUGCUUUGAGGUAGUUUUUGGCCUUGGAAGUUGGGACCCAACCCAACUUCACAAAAAGAAAACAGAUUUGCCAAAAAUCAAAUUUCAAGUCUCUCCUCAGAUCACUAAUACAGAUCAAAUUUUGGAUUUGAUGAACUAAAGUGGUUUUACUUUCUCUGUCAGUGUUUGAUGACUUAAUUUGUUAUUUACUUCUUUUUUU
This 47473-nucleotide long non-coding RNA is filed under the name Prunus persica (peach). RNAcentral's name for it is "long non-coding RNA (PPER_LNC001496)". The record is from RNAcentral. Lineage: Eukaryota; Viridiplantae; Streptophyta; Magnoliopsida; Rosales; Rosaceae.